This 62176-nucleotide long non-coding RNA is filed under the name Physcomitrium patens. RNAcentral's name for it is "long non-coding RNA (PPAT_LNC009555)". The record is from RNAcentral. Lineage: Eukaryota; Viridiplantae; Streptophyta; Bryopsida; Funariales; Funariaceae.
AGGGAUGAAAGCAAGGCAUGGUUGGAUGAAGGCAAGGAAUGGGGAUCUUCAUUCCUAUUCGUCGAAGGCCAUGUCUAAUGGACUUCAAGGAGGCUACUUGAGGCCUUAUUAGGAAUUAGGGUUUUUUUUUCAAAGUCAUUCAAGCUUUGGAGGCUAGGGUCAGCAAGUUCAAGAUUUUGGAUAUAAUUUGGAUGAAGAGUUUGUGUGAUUUUGAGUUUUUGUGAAAGAGAUAUAAGUGUUCAAAGUUAAGGUGUCAAAUUUAUACCUACUGUCACUCUUUGAAGCAUAAUAUAUGCGAUCAAAGAUCAAUGAAAGAUCGGCGAUUGGAGUUGGAGAGAACACUUUUUUGGCUACACUUUAUAUAUAUUGUUUGAUGAAUUCUAGGUUUUGAUGAAGGAAUUAUAGGGCAUUGAAGACAACACAUCUAAUUCAUUUUGUUGAUAGUAAUGGUUGGAGCCAUAUCUUGAGAUUUUGGACGAAUUUUUGGCUCAAAAGUUUUGUAAGUGUGAGUUAUUAAGUUAAGAAGCUAUAAAGCAAAUUUUCAUGGUAUUUGAGUAUUUAUUUUGUGAGAUAUGAGAUAUGCAGGUACAUGUAAGUUAGGAUUUAAAGCUACUGUUAGGAUUUUGGUGAUAUCUCAAGAUCCGUAAUAAAUUUGAAUUUUUUUUGAUAAUUUUUUGAAAGUAUAUCAGUAUUUCAAGUAUAAUUUUAGGUUGUUUGGAAGGUCCGAUCAUGAGAUAUGAACUAUUGAAGUUUGAGUAACAUUUCUCAUGAGGAUAUACAUUGACAAACAAAACUGAGUAUAAAAUCUAAACACUCAUAGUUCAUUGAUCCUUCCAACUGACAUAUAAGUCAAUUGAUAGAAUUACUUUUUUAUUGUGUGUAUUCAUCUAGUCUUCUACAUGGAUGAAAAAUCUCAUUAUCAUUUGAGGUAGGGUUUAUGAGAAAAGUAUUGUAGAAGCACACAGAUGUGCAUACUUAGUUUUGGUUACUUCUUCUUGCUGAAUUUCGAAAUUUCAAUGUACACUCCUUGUUGCAAGAUUUGAGAGCAUUUUUUAUUUGUUGUAUUGCUCUUGUUGUGUACUAUCUAUAGUAAAAGUUGAUUUGUCAAUUGUAUCUCUAUGCCUCGAUUGUGUGAAUCAUUGAAGCACCAAGCAUUCGUACAACUUAGAAGUGGUAUUUCUACAAGAAAAGUUGCAGACUCACUUGGAAUGAGUUAGUCUUCAGUAGCUCAUCUGAGGAGGGAGAUUAGUGGUGAAAUAGAAAAGCAAAGAGGAGGACGUCCAAAGGUUUUAGGAGAGCAAGAGAAGCGACUUGGUGUGCACCUUGUCACUGCUGGUUGUCUCAAAACAGCAAGUGCAGCUGCAAAACAACUUCAAGAAAAAAUAAGAAAACACUUCUCAAACAUCACCGUGAGGCGUGGUUUGAGAGAAGCUGGUUUGGGUGCUUGUGUGCAACAAAAGAAACCUCUACUUGCCAAAAGACAUGUGCUUAUAAGGUUGAGUUUUGCUCAUAAAUACAAAAAUUAGAUCGUUGAUGAUUGGAGACGGGUUAUUUUCAGUGAUGAGACAAAGAUUAACCUUAUCAACUCAGAUGGUAGGUCUUGGUGUUGAUUGAGAGAAGGAGAACGACCUAGACCUAAACAUGUUAGUCAAACUGUCAAACAUGGUAGUGGUUCAAUUAUGAUUUGGGGUUGUAUGAUUGCUUUUGAGCCAGGUGCUUGGUAUCAAAUUGAAGGUAGAAUGGAGCAACACUUGUAUAAAAAAAAUUUAGAAACCUACUUGCAAAGUACCACACAGAAUUACAACUUAGAUCCUACUAAGGUGGUUUUUCAACAUGAUAAUGAUCCCAAACAUAUGGCAAAAAGUAUUCAGUUUUGGCUCUCUUCACAACCAUUUCAGCUCCUUCAAUGGCCAGCUCAAUCUCCAGAUUUGAAUCUAAUGGAACAUUUUUGGGCCCUUCUCAAACAGCGUUUAAGCCAAGUCAUUCCAAGGCCAAGAGGUGUUCAAGAAUUGUGGAAGAAUGUUUGUAGUAUUUACCCUAGUUUUGAUGCAAAAGAUUGUGAGAAACAAUACAAAAGUAUGCCAAGAAGGAUUUCAGCUGUUUUGGAAGCAAAAGGUUAUUGGACUAAAUAUUGAAGUUUGAAGAUUUUCUUUGAACAAUACUGAGUACAAGACAUAGUUGUUGAUUUGACUUUGUAGAAGGAUGUUUAGUUAUCAAUUUGAUGUGCAACUUUGUACAUGUGUACAAGACUGUGUGUAUUAAUCCAUGUAACUUUCAGAUUUAUAAAGCAAUCAUUGAAAUUUCUGUAAUUGCUCUUGAAAGUUGGCACUUCAGAUUUUGUAUUCGGUUUUGUUUAUCACUGUAUAAGGUUUUAAGAUACUUUAUCAUACAUUUGGAUAUUUUUUUGGUACUCAGGCUUAUGUAUUGAUGUAAUUACCUUGUAAGGGAAAAUAUUAUAUAUAUAAAUUUUGUACUUUUAUAUCUUAGACUUGAUUGAGCAUUUAGUGGCUACCAAAAGCCCUGUGCUUUCUUGAGGCAAACUCUCUCUAUCCCGACAACAAUAGUCCAACUUAUCACAAUAACAAGUAAUCUUGAUAUUACAAUAAAGUAACCAUACCUUAAUAUCUACAUUAAAUUGUGGUUGUUCCUUUCGAUUAGCAUUUGCAUUGAUCUUUUGUUAUUUUUGAGCUUCCUUUUAUUCUCCUUUCAUUAUUGCAUGUAGCUCUAAUAAAUAAUUUGUCAAAUCUUUUGUCACAGGAUUAUCAACUUUUAAAAAAUCAAAAGUAUCAAAUUAUAGAUGAUAACCAUAAUUUAUAAAAAAAGAUAUUUGUUGCAUAAAAUAAUUGUAAGUUCAUGCCAAUACUCAUGCAUUGUAUUAUUAUAAGCAAACUCUGCCAAUGUCAAGAAGGUUGUUUAAUCAUCGUAUUGAUAAUUAAUGGUAUACCUUAAGUAUUGCUCCAAAAUUUGAUUUACAUAUUUUUGUAAUAUAACAUAAGUAAUAGAUAAAAAGAAUGAAAAAAUUAUUAUAUUAUAAAAGAUCUUACUUCAAAUAUUGUAGCAAAUUAUCUUAAAAAAUAGACAAAAGUCUAAAAGAAAAUACAAUUAAAGAUGUAAAUAUUAUUUUUUUAUAAAUUAGGCUUUUAUUUAGUUUUUUAGGCGAUAAAUAAGAUAAAAUAAGGUAGAUGAGAAAAAUAAAGAAAAUAAAUAUAUGUAGAAAAAAGUUAAGAAUUGAUUUUAGCAAAAAUUAACUCAAAAGAAAAAAAUUUGAUAUUUAGAGAAGACCAGUUAUCAACUUAGACCAAAUCAAAUCUUCAAGUACAAAACUAGGCACCUAAGGAAAAUUUGGGAUGUUUUUGCAAAUUAAAGAGUAAGAUUUGAAAGCAGACUUAAUAAGAUUUCUUUGAACAUUGAAUUUGAGUGAUUUAAGUAUGUAAUAACUUUGUAAGAGCUUUGUAAAGUUAUAGUUAUUUUAGGUGAUUCUAAGAUUUGAGAAAUAAAAAGGAUAUUAUAUUUUAGAGAAUUUUGUGAAUUUAGUAUUAGAUCUAUAAUUUAAAUUUUGAGGACUUAUUAGAAUAGUUAUUUGAAUUAUAUGCUACAAGUUUAAGACUAUUCAAACAAUUGAAUUGAAGGUUAUUGAAUUUCAUGUAGGUUGAGGUCUCAAAAAUUAGACUUUGAGGUACAGUUAGGAUUUUUAAGAUCUUCAACAAUCUACUAGUUGGAUUGGAGUGAAAUUUUUGUGUAAAGAUAAUAGACUUGAUUUACUACACAUUUGUGAAAUUUGAAAAUAAUUGAAUAGUUUAAAAAAGCGAUAUUGAGACUAGAAGUUCAACAUUGAGAUUGAAAUAGGAGGCUUGCCAAUACCCGAGUGGAUUAUAGGAUUUUUCUUCCAUUUGGUAGGUGCAAUUAUCUUCAAAUUUGUUAUAUUAUUUUUUAACUAAAAAAUUGAAAGAUGUAUAAAUUUUUAGGUAAGAUCCAUGAUUUAAUUAAUAGAUAUUAAGAUUCUAAUGUCCUUCGGAUUUGAUUAAGGAUUAAGAAUUUAUAUAGAAUUUGAUUUAAGGUUUAGGAUUUAUUUCGGAUUUGAUUUAAGAUUUAGGAUUUUUUUAGGAUUUGAUUUAAGGUUUAAAUUUUUUUUAAGAUUUGAUUUAAAGUUUAGGAAUUUAGGAAUUAUUUUAGGAUUUAGGAUUUUUUUAAGAUUUUAUUUAGGAUUUCGGAUUUGUCUAGGAUAUGAUUUAGAAUUUAAGAUUUUUUUAAGAUUUUAUUUAAGAUUUUGAAUUUUUUUAGGAUUUGAUUUAAGAUUUAAGAUUUAUUUAAGAUUUGAUUUAAGAUUUAUAGUUUUUUUAAGAUUUAGUUUAAGAUUUAAGGUUUAUCUAGGGUUUGAUUUAAGAUUUAAGGUUUGUCUAGGAUUUCGUUUAGGAUUUAGGAUUUAUUUCGGAUUUACCUAGGAUUUAGGAUUUGGCUUAAGAUUUGAUUAAAAUUUAUUAGGAUUUUGAUUAGGAUUAAUUUAAGACUUUAUUGAGAUUUAUUUAAGAUAUAUUUUUAAUUAUUUUAAUAUUUCUUUGGAAUUUCUUAAAGAUUCUUUUGAGAUUUAUUGAAUUUUUUAAAGAUUUCUUAUUUUUUCUUUUAUAAUUUCUUUAAGAUCUUUUUUGAAUUUGAUUAAAGUUUAUUUAGCAUUUUUAAGGAUUUAAUUAGUAUUAUUUAAUAUUCUAUUAGAAUUAAAAUUUUGUUGUUGCAAUUUCCAUUCUACUUUCUAUUGCCAAGUACUUAAUGUAUUCUUGAACAAGACUUCACAUAAUAUAAUAGUACUUUAUUUGUCCAUCAGUUUGAGGAUAAAAGGCCAAAAAAAGUUUUAUGUCCACCUUUAGAAUCUUAAAAAGGAUUCUCUAAAAUCUUGAUAUAAAUCAAGUCACCAUGUCCAAUAUAAUAUCUUUUAGCAAUCCACAAUAUCAAUAGAUAUUAUCAAGGAAAAGCUUGGCAGUUUUUUUUAUCUAUGAUAGAUUUUAUACUAUUUUAAUAAAAAAAUCUAAUAUCACAAAUAUAGAAUCAUAUAUAUCUGAGAUUGGAAGAUUUUUAAUAAAAUCUAUAGAAAUAGAAGACCAUGGAUGUUUUGAAAAAAGUAAUAGUUGAAGAAGUCCAUAAAGUUGAUAAUGAAGAAUUUUUGAUCUUGAACAAAUGUCACAUAAUUUCACAAAGUCUUUUAUAGUCUUCCACAUUUGUGGCCACCAAAAAUCUCUAUAUAUUAGCUUUAAAGUCUUGUUAUAUCCAAAAUGUCCUACUUUUGGAAAGUUGUGACAUGCUUGAAGAACAUGUAGAUGUGCUUAUCCUUCUAGAACAUAUAGGCAUCUUUUGAAAUAAAGUAGGUUGUUCUUGAACUCGAACUUGAAAGUAUUACAAUAGUUAAAAGAAAUAUUCUUGAUAUCAUGAAGAAGAAGAUCAAAGGAUAUAUUUGAUUGAAUUUGCUUGAAAAAAAUUAAAUCAAUAAUUAAUGUUGAUUUCACAAUAAUUUCAUCUUUUAUUCUUGCUUCAAUAAAAUUUUCUUUUAUUAAUCAAAAACUGCAAUUCCUUCUUUUGGUACAAGAUAAGAACAUCUUAAAAAGGCAUUGAAUAAACCUUGUUGUUUUUGUAGCUAAUAAGUGAUAUUGAACUCAAAUCUUGAGAAAGACAUGCUCUAAUAAGACUGGUGAUGAUUCAAAAUAUGUGCUGACAUGUCAUUCUUCAAAAGAAUCUACAAUUGUAAGAAGUUCUUCGUCAUGGAUCUCAUAGUUAAUUUUGGUUGCUGAAAAUUUCCUAGAAUGAAAAGCUAGUAGAUGAAGCUUAUCAUCUUCUCCUGAUUGUCAUAAAACAACAUCUAUAGCAAAAUCUAAUGCAUUUAUUUCCAUAAAAAAUGCCUUGAAAAAGUUGAUAAGAUAUAAUAUUGGUACAAAAAUAAAUACAGACUUCAAGGCUUCAAAAGAUGCUUCAGCUUCUUUGCUCCAAUUAAGUUUGUUUUUGCAUAUAAGACAUAUAAGAAGAGCCUCAACUUGAGAAUUUUUUUUGAUAAAGAUCUUUGAAUCCAAAUUUCACCACUAAAUGAAAUUGAUCCCACACAACAAGUUCAAGAGGUGGAAUUGAAGAAUUGACAAUUGUGUAAUUUCUAAGUUGUUUUAAAUCUUAAUGUUAAUAAUUCAAUUAACUUUAAGCCUUCUAAUUAAUAGUUACUAAUAUUAAUAAAAAAAAUAUUUAAUAAAAUUACUAUGGUUUUCAAGGCUAUUUACAUUAUCUCUACUUAUAUUUUGAUGAUUUUUUUAAGAUUACAUAAUCCUUAAUUACUCAUUUUUAUAUGAUUAAAAAUUUAUUAGUAAUUAGAAUAAAUAAAUAAUUAAUUAGUUCAAACUUAUAAAUUAUUAUAUCUUAAAUAAUUGAUGGUAAAAGUAAUUGAUCAAAUUAUUACCAUUAAUCCAUAGUAAAAGUAAAAAAAUCUUAAAGGUUGAAUUAAAAGUAAAAGUUAAAAAUAAAAAUUAAGAGUUAAAAGUAAAAGAGAAAAGAUUAAAAAUUAUAAGUUAAAAACUAAAAUUUAAAAGUUGAAAUAUGAAAGUUACGAAUUACUAUAAAAAUAAAAAUAAAAGUAAAAGAUAAAAGCAAAGGUAUCUUAAUAACGCCAAAGAAUUGAGGGCAGCAAAUCCUUUUUAUACCAAAAUUUGCUAAAAAUUAUGAUUAAUUCCAAAUUGAAUGAUUUUUUGUAUUUUUCAAAGUUAACUUAUAGGAUGUUUUAAUAAAAAAGAUGUUCCAAUUAUUUGAAUUCACUAUUACAUCAAAGAUAAAAAAUCAUGUAAGGUCUAGUAUAGGAUAUUUUGGAGGUUCAUAGAAAAAAUUAUCUCAAGCAUUGAAAGAUGAAUUUUUCUUGAUAGAUAGUGAUUAAAUUACAAAGAAAUUAUUUUUUUGAAUGGAUUAAAAGACCAGAGAAGGGCCUUUUAGUAACAAAAUUAUUAAGAGAGUUUGAAAAGUAAUAUUCUUCUUUAUCAAAGAAAGGAAGGCAAUUAUUUGAUCCAAGUAAACUCCAGCUCUUUCUUCAAAUGGAUGAUAGAGAAUUGCAAGAGAAGUUAAAAAUCUUGCUUCAAGAUAACAAAGAAGAUGAAAGAUUAAUAAUAAAUUGAAAGGAAGUAGAAGAGGUUGUAGGAUUGUUGCCAAAAAGAUAAAAAAAAUAAAUAAAUAAAUAAAAAUAGGAUGGAUAUAUAAAUACCAUUACAAGCGUCUAAAGUAAAAAUGUCUACUAUUCAUACAAUAUCUUUAAUUCAACCUUCAAUAGCUACAUCAAAGAAUGAAGAAAUAGGCAUCUAUGAAAUCAUAUACGAUGUUAUACUGUAAAUGCUUAUAUUAUAUAAAAAUUAGUUAAAAUAUAUUAUAUAUUGAUAAAUAUAAAUGAGUGUUAGAGUGAUUAGUAGAUUAAAUUAAAAGGAGUUGAUAUAAGAAACCUUACUUUGUUUCUUUUAUUUUUUUUGAUUUUAGUAUAUAUAUAUAUAUAUAUAUAUAUAUAUAUAUAUAUAUGACCUAAAUAUUUAGUAUGAAGCCUUGAAAGAAGGUGGAAGCCUAAGAAAGAAAAUUCAAACUAGUAGGAGGCUAAUUAGAAGGAAUAAAAGUAAGGCAUGGUCAGAUGAAGGCAAGGAAUGGAAAACUUCAUCCCUACUGGUCGAAUACUAUACCUAAUGGACUUUGAAGAGGCUGUCUACAACCUUAAUAAGGGUUCUAAAAACUUCAAAGUAGGCAUUUGGAAAUUAAAAGCCAAGAUUAUAAGGUUUAGAAUUUGGACUAUAAUUUGUAUGCAAAAAUUAGAAGAUUUAGAACAAGGAUGAAGAAAUUAUAGUCAUUUGAAGUUAAGGUGUAAAUUUAAGAUAUACUAUUACUUUUUUGUAAAUACAAGGAAUUAUACAAUAUUUUUUGAAGUUCAAAAGGUGCAGUUAGAAUAGCAAUUUCAAAGCCUACAUCUUUUAUGAAAGAAUUGUUGUUUUUGAAGUUUAUAUAAAGAAAAUAUAAGGAAUUGAAGGAAAUACUUUUAAAUCAAAGAUAGCAAGUAAAUGAUUUUGUAUAUAGUAAUGGUUGGAGCCAUAACUUAAAUUUUUGGACGAAAUUUUGGCUCAAACUUUUUGAACAAUGAAAAAUUUUGUAUUACAAAACUAUACAUAUAAAUUUUGUGGCAUUUGAGCUUUUAUUUUGUGAGAUAUAAAGAAAAUUUCAUGAGGGAGUAUAAAAACAAGGAUUUGAAGUGACUGUUAGGAUUUUUAAGAUAUCUCAAGAUUUGCAACAAAUUUGUAGUUGAAAUUUAUUGUAAGAGUUGAUAAGAAUACAUCAGUACUUCAUAUAAAAUUUGAUUAAGUUUGGACAGUCGGAUCAAGAGAUAUGAGAUAUUGAAGUUUAGGAAAAAUUUUACAUAAGGGUAUAUAAGGUUUUAGAGGAUUUUAUCAUAUUUUGGAUGUUGUUGGUUACUUGAGGCUUAUAUAUUUGGUGUAAUUGCUCCAAAAGGGAAAUUUUAUAUAUAAACUUAGGGCUUCUUUGAUUUUGAAGCUUGAUUGAGCAAUUAGUAACAACCAAGAGUCUAGUACUUUCUUGAGGUAAACUCUCUCUAUCCUGAUAUUUUGGUGCUUCCACUAAGAGAGCCUUGAGGCAUAAAUUUUUUACUAAGUUGAAAUGGAAGAUCAAAAUCAAGGAUUUAGAUUAUGAAGAGGAGUUUGCUCAAUUUAUGAAAGAUAGAUAAUAGGUACAUAGAGAGGAUAUGAGUACUAUUAACGUCUUAGAAGUAGUGGUAGAUAAGAUUGGAAGGUUUGAUGGGAGGAACAUUACUAAGUUCCUCAAGAUUUACACAUAAGAAAUGGAGGUGAAUCAAGUUUCAAAAAUAAAGAUAAUUAUCACCUUUGAUUUGGCAAUAGUACCAAAAAUUAAGGAAAUGAUGCAAGAAUUGCAUGUAGAGGCUAUAUAAUGGAAGAAAUUUGAAGAACUCUUAAAAGAUAAAUUUUUUAAAGAAGAUUUAGAAAGAAUGAUCAAAGUGACUUUUUUGGAAUGGAUUGAGCAAAGGCCAAGGAAUCAAAUGGCUCCAAAUGAAUUAAUUAGGAAAUUUGAAAUUAAUUUUGAUCAAUUGCCAUGGUAAGAGAAGGAGCUAUUGGAAGCAAGAAAAACAGGGUUAUUCUUGCAAGUAGCUGAUGAAUACUUGGAAGACAAGCUUUUCUUUCAUUUAGUUGAUAAGACAUUUGAGAGCAGUUUUACAAAUAAUUGGAAGCUUAUAAAAGAGAAAAUGGGGCUUCUGACUAAACAGCAAAAGAUUAAGACUCAUGAUUUAAUAUCAAGAUUGGAGCCAAUGCCUACAUCUCAAAAUUUAGUGCUACCUCAAAAGGUACUAAAGACUGUUAAAGAUAACACUCUUGAAGAAUUAACUAAAGGCAUACAAGAUUUGAAGGUAAAAAUGACUGAAUUGAAGAAAUCUCAAAUGAAAAGCUCAUCAAAGAUAGUUGAAGGUUCAAAAGGAUUUGUAAAGAGAUAUAUGUGGUAUGAUAAUCCAAACCAUAAGCGUGGUGAAUGUGACAGCUAUAAGGCUGCAAUCAAAGAUGAUAUUGUAUAUUUUAAGGAUGGUAGGAUAAGACUCACAAGAUCAAAUGAGCCUUUUAAGACUAAUUUUGAGAAAGGUGGCAUGAAAAAAUUGAUAGACGAGCAAAUAUUAAAGAAUAAUGCCAUACAAAAAAAAAAAGUUAAGUCUUAUUCUAUUACAGUUGAACAAAAAGCAAUUAAUGUUAGUUCUUUAUCAACUACAAAAAUUAUGAUCAGAGGAGCUGAAGUUAUCAAAAAAAUGACUAAGUGGAAUGAUCUAGUUGUUGCUAUUAGUAUUAAAGCAUAUUUAUGGGGGUACAAAUAUAAUGAUGAUCUACAUGAUGCUAUAGUUGAAGAAAAAAGAAAUAGAACUAUUCAUGAAGAGGAUGUUAUUGAGCGUGAAAACAAGAGGAGGUUUCUAAAAAAUAAAGAAGCUUCUAAAGAUGAAAAAUGAGAUAAGAUGCCUUCUUCUAAUCAUCUCGGUGGUGCACCAUUAUCAAAAGAGUGGCAUAAGAAGAACAAAAACAAGAAGGAAGAUGACACAAGUAAACUUAAAGAUAAAAAUCUUGCUUACAAGCUUUAAUUUGACAUUGAGUCAUCUACAGACAUAAAGAGUAUUUUAGAGAAAAAGAUCUUGAAAGAAAAAAUUGAAUUCACUCUAAGAGAUGCUUUGAGUAUAGCUAAGAAAUAUUUUCAUGAGUUGAUCAUCAAUGUGAUAAAGAGGAAGAGGCAAAUGAUAGCUAAAGCUAUUAUAAUAGAGGCAUUGAAUACUUGGGUAAUUAUGGAUGAGGCAGAAAAGAUAGGAUAGGUAUUUGCACAAUUUAUAAUGCCAAAAGCUGGAAAUAAGAUUGAUAUGGAAGAUAAGGCUUUAAUUAAGUAUGAAGAGACUAUAGAAGAACAUCAAAUGAAAUAUGUAUCUGUGAAAUUUAUUAAGAUAAAGAAGAAUGCAUAAAAAAUAUGUAUAAAUACUUGCUCUAAAUAUGAUAAUGAUAGAAUAGAAAGUAGUAGCUAUUCAGUUCCUUAUUAGAUUAUAGCUACUAUGGAAUAAUAGAAGAAUUAGGUUUAGAAGAUGAUUUGAUAAAAGUUAUGGAAAAUUUAGUUAUAAGCAUAGAGGCAAAUGCUAUGGUAGAAAUAUAUUCAAGAGAGACUUAUGAUGUGUUAAAAAAAAUAAUAGCAAUUGGUGGACUUGCUAGAAGCUAUGGAUUGAAAUAUGAGGCUAGAGUACAAACUAAAUAUAAAGUUGUGGUAAGAAAGAUAAAACCUAUAGUUACUUAGUUAUGAGUUGAUACUAUGAAGCAUUUUAAGCAAGCAAUUAAGAAACCAAAUGCAAAAGAAAGACGCAAAAUUGGACAUCAAUUUACUCAAAAAUCAUUAGCUAAGUUGAAGAUUGGAGGAGGUGAUCUCUUGACAUUAACAGAAAAAAAAUAUGUUCCAAAAAAUACUUAUUGGGUAUGAUAAGGCAUUUGCCUUAACUCUUGAUGAAAUAGGAUGUGUAGAUCCUAGUAUUGUAGUACCUAUGAUAAUCAUUACUAUGCAACAUGUUCCAUAGAAUUUAAAGCCUAUACCUGUGCCCAGAGCUUUACUUCUAAAAUUAAUAGAAUUAUUAAAAAAAAGAUGAAGAUGGAUAUUUUAGAAUCUUCAAUUAAUUCCUAUUUUAAUAGAUGAUUCACAAUAUCCAAGAAGUCAGGGAUGUAAAGGUUUAUUCAAGAUAUGCAACCUACAAAUAGAGUAAUUAUUUGAAACAUGGAAUCAAGUUUGAUAGUAGAUAAAGUGACUAAGUAAUUUCUAAGUCAUGCCAUCUAUUCUAUUAGAGACUUAUAUUCUAGAUAUUACCAAUUUUAAUUGACUAAAUAAAGUAGGGACUUAACUACCAUGAAGUCUCUUUUGGAUUUAAUGAGGAUGUGUACCUUAUCUCAAGGUGCAACCAACUCAGUGGCUCAUAUAUAAAAUACUAUGAAUCAAAUAUUGAAAGAAAUUAUAUAUAAGAAAUUGGAGUCAGUUAAUUUCACGUUAUCUUUGGAGAAAUCAAGCUUUGGAGUUAAUGAGAUUCUAGUAGUGGGACAUAUAUAUAGCAGAUAUGGUAGGAAAUCAAACUAUUGUCGUAUGGCAUGAUUUGCUAUCUGGGAAUACACUAGGUAUCUAGCUAAAGAGAAUGUAGCUUAAACCUUUAUAUGAUUCUUGUCUUAGCUUCCAAAACUUCUUUAUUUUUGUAUAAAACUCCAAAUAUAACAAAAUCCUUUCAAAACAUAUUUUUUCCGAGAAGGGUUUUCUUGCCCUGAAAUUUAGAAAAUCAUAACUAUUGAUCUAACCGUUCAGUUUAUCUCACAUUUACAAGAUAGGUAGAAUUUACCCUUAAAUUUUAUCACAAAAAACAUCAACCGCAAAUUCACUCUCGAUCUUUUGGCAUCUAAGAAAUUCUAGCAGAUGCUCUAAACCCUAAUUUAAAAGCACUUGAACACUAUUUUCUUAAUAUCUCAAGAAAACAAUACUCAAAUGUCAUCAAACUUAUGCAUAAAGUUUAGUAACAUAAAAUUACACAUUCCCUAAAAUUUUGAGCCAAAACUUUGGCUAAUAGCUCAUGAUAUAGCUCAAGAGACAACUACUAGUAAAUCGGGUUACUUACUACCCUUAGAUUGCAUGCACUGACUUCAAAAUCCAAUAACUCCUUCAUUUCAACUUGAAAUCCAGUAAGAAGUAUAUGAAAAGUGUAGCUGCAAAAGUAUUCUCUCCAAUCGCGGUCGCCGAUCCUCAAUUACUAUCUGUACGCAUGCAUUAUGCCAAAAAGAGUGACAAUAACUCCCAAAUCAACACCUUAACUUUGAGCGCUUGUAUCUCCUUCAUAUAAACUCCAAACCAUACAAAACUUGCACCAAAACCAUAGACAAAAUCCUAGACCUUCUGACCUUAGCCUUCAAAACUCAAAUGGCCUCGAGAAACUAACACUAAUCCCUAAUAUGGCCUCAGGUAGCCUCCUCAAAGCUGAUUGGUCAUGAUUUUUGACCAAUAAGAAUGGAGAUUUUCAUUAUUUAUCUCCAUUCAUCUAUAUUGGUGCUCUAAUUACUCCCUUUGCUACCAAAAUCCUUCUUUAAUCCUUUUUUUUUAUAAGAUUUAUAUAAUUUAUGCUCUAGACACCAAAUAAAAGAACCAAAAGAAGUUUUGAAAGGUCACCAAUGUCUAAUAAAGGUGAUUCUAAAUAUUUAGAAGUUACUAUCAACCAAAACCAAUCUUAAAAGCUACUAUCAAAAGGAAAUUAAAAUUAUACAAAUUCUAUAGUAAUCUUUUUAAACAACCUCUUCUCAAGGUAAUAAUCAAAUUAUAUUCUACAACCAACUAAAAUCUACUAACAUGGCUCUCACUAUGUUACUUAGUAAAUUAUAUAUUAAGUACAAAAUUACAUUAUUUUCAUAUAGUAGCCGAACCACAACACGACAUCGUGAUAAAAUUUUUACUGUAUCUAGGAUGAUGGCUUAUAGAAAUAUUACAAAAGCCAAAAGAUUUUUAAGAGCAUGUGUUUUCUAUCACAUUUGGGUGCUUUACUUUGCCCAUAUCUUUGAGCUACUAUAGAAGUUAUUUAGGAAGGGUAAGAGAUUUGUUUAAGAAGAAGAACAAGAAGAAGCUAUAAAAAAAUUGAAAAAGAUAUUGAAUUCACCAUCUGUACUUAGACAAGUAGAUUAUCAAUAUAGAAGACCAGUGGUUGUAACAAUGGAUAUAAGUCCCAUAGCAAUUGGAUGGGCUAUUGGACAAGAUGAUAUAGAAAGAAGAAGAUUUGCUAUAAGGUUUGGAGCUAGGAUUCUUACAAAGUGACAAAGGACUUAUCCUCAAGUUAAAAAAGAGCUUUGAGAGGCACUCAUACUCUAAAGGUUGAAAGGAAUUAUUUCAUUGGAGCAAGUAUGGUUUUGAAAAUAAAUUAUUUGCCAUUACUUUGAAUGAUAAUUAACUGUACUACUCUAGACAUUUCCAUACUAAUAUGGAUAGCCUAUAAAAGAACAUUGAAUCUUAUUUUAGUAUAUAUUACUAGCAAAAAAAACUUAAUAGCGGAUAUGUUUUUUAAAGCUAGAUAUACCUUUGAAGAAGAAAUGAUGGCACAUUAAAGAGGUGAAGAUCAAGAAGAGAAGAGUUAUAGAAAUUCAUUUGCUACUGGUAGAAUGAAUUUUCAUAAUAAGAUUCAAAAAUUCUAUAAAGAUUUGUAUGAAGGCAGAUUGAAGGAUAUUGAAAUUUAUUUAAGCACAGUGAGGAAACAAGAAGGAUGGAUGGAUAAAACCUUCAAAGAUAUUAGACAUCAAUCCUAUGAUUAUUUGCUUAGAGAUAGAUUCCUAUGGAAGAGGCCAAAAAGAAGUGAUAAAAUCCUAUUGAGGAUAGGAAGAGAUCUUAAAACUAAGUUUAAGUUUUUAAGAGAAUAUCAUGAUACUUUUUGGACAAGGCACAGAGGAAUUUGGACCACAUAUACUAAGAUUAAGGAAAGGUAUUGGUGGAAGGAUUUAUACAAGGAUAUAGAAGACUUUGUAAGCUCAUAUACAAAGUAUCAACUAUAAUCUAAAGUUAGAUAUAGAGAUGGAUUACAUCCUACUUAUCCACCUUCAAUAUAUUUUCAAUGGAUAAUUGAUUUGGUAGCUAUGCCAUCAAAACUUUGGGAUAUAAAAUAUUUAGUUUUGACAAGAGAAGAGCUAUCAAAUUGUGUUGAAGGGAGGGCUUUGAAAACCAAGACCACAGAAGUAGUAUGCAGAUUUAUAUUGGAAGACAUCUUCAGCAGAUAUGGUAGCAUUAGAAGGAUGAGAGCUGAUAGAAGAGAAUUAGAUACCGUUGAAGCAAAUUUUUUUUUGAACAAGUAUAGAAUUCAAUUGAAGUUAACUAUUUCUUAUAAUCGUGAAGCCAAUAGAAAGAGUGAGAGGGAUCAUCCUCCUAUUAUUUAUACAUUGGUUAAAACAUGUAAGGAUAGAUCAAUUCAAUGGCCUAAACUGCUUCCAUUUGCUUUUAUGGGCUGAUAGAACUACUGAAAGUAUUGUCACUAGUUAUAUACAUAUGGAGUUAAUAUUAAGACAAAAAUCUAUGAAGCCAAGUGAUGAAACCUAUCUUACAUCUACGUUGGAAAGAUAACAUUGAUAGAGAAAGAUUAUUGGAACUUUGAAUCCAAUAGUUGGAUAGGUUACCUACAAAUUGCAACUAAGAGGUUAUAGAGAGCAAGAUUAAAAAGUAAAGAAAGGUUUGAUAAGAUUCAUAAAUUGAGGCCUAAGCCUAUAGAGAUUAGGGAUUGAGUUUUAGUUUAUAAUAGCAGCCUUUAACAUCAGCAUAGUAUUGUAAAGAAAUUUACAAAAAAAUGAUUUAGAGUAUAUGUGGUAGUUAUAGUUCUUGAUAAUGCCACAUAUACUUUAUAUGAAUUAGAUGGAACUAACAUUAGAAUUCCGAUAGCUGGAAAGAUGAUAAAGGCUUUUAAGAGAAGAAAUGGGUAGUUCAAAAUGGAAGACAUUGAAGAAUUCUUACCACAAAAUUUGAAUCAAGAACAUCAAGAAGGAGAAACUAUGAAUGAUUUAGAGCACUUUUAAGAUGAUGAAGAGGAUUAAGACAUGGCACAUAUCGAAGGAUGUGCAGGUUUGGACAAGGUGGAUGUUGUAUUGUAAAUACUUACAUUAUGUAAAAAUUAGUUUAAAUAUAAUACAUGUUGAUAAAUCUAAAUAUGUUAGAGUGGUUAGUAGAUUAAAUUAAAAAGAGUUGAUAUAAGAAACCUUACAUUUUUUUUUAUUUAUUUUUAUUUUGAUAUAUAUAUAUAUAUAUAUAUAUAUAUAUAUAUAAGACCUAAAUAUUUAGUAUGAAGCCUUGGAAGAAAGAGGAAGCCUAAAAAAGAAAAUCUAUGGAAGGAAUAAAAGUAAGGCAUGGUCAUAUGAAGGCAAGGAAUGAAAAACUUCUUUCCUAUUGGUCGAAUACCAUACCCAAUGGACUUUGAAGAGGCUAUCAACAACCUUAACAAGGGUUCCAAAAACUAUAAUGUAGGCGUUUGGAAAUUAGAAGCCAGAGUUGUAAGGUUUAGGAUUUGAAUUACAAUUUGUAUACAAAAAUUAGACGAAUUGGAAUUAGGAUGAAGAAGUUAUAGUCAUUUGAAGUUAAGGUGUUAAUUUAAGAUAUACUAUUACUCUUUUGUAAAUACAAAGAGUUGUACAAAAGUUUUGAAGAUCAAGAGGUGCGGUUGGAAUGGCGAUUUCAAAGCCUACAUCUUUUAUGAAAGAAUUUUUGUUUUUGAAGUUUAUAUAAAGAAAAUAUAAGGAGUUGAAGGCAACGCUUCUAAAUCAAAGGCAGUAAGUAAAUGGUUUUGUAUAUAGUAAUGGUUGGAGCCAUAACUUAAAUUUUUGGACGAAAUUUUGGCUCAAAAUUUUUGAAUAAUGAAAAAUUUUGUGUUAUAAAACUAUACAUAUAAAUUUUGUGGCAUUUGAGCUUUUAUUUUGUGAGAUAUAAAGAAAAUUGCAUGAGGGAAUAUAAAGACAAGAACUUGAAGUGAUUGUUAGGAUUUUCAAGAUAUCUCAAGAUUUGCAACAAAUUUGUAGUUGAAAUUUUUUGUAAGAGUUAAUAAGAAUACAUCAGUACUUCAUGUAAAAUUUGAUUAAGUUUGGACGGUCGGAUCAAGAGAUAUGAGGUAUUGAAGUUUAGAAAAAAAUUUAUAUAAGGGUAUACAAGGUUUUAGAGGAUUUUAUCAUAUUUUGGAUGUUAUUGGUUACUUGAGGCUUAUAUAUUUGGUGUAAUUGCUCCAAAAGAGAAAUUUUAUAUAUAAACUUAGGGCUUCUUUGAUUUUGAAGCUUAAUUGAGUAAUUAGUAACAGCUAAGAGUCUAGUGCUUUCUUGAGGAAAACUCUUUCUAUCUUGACAACGGGAUGAGAGAUUUCCAAAUAAAAUUUAAAAAACUUAAAGAGAAGGGCCAAUCAUCAAGAAUAUCAAGAAGAGAAAGAUUAGGGCUAAUGGAAGGUGUAGUAUAUAGGUACAUGUGGUAUAAUAGUACAAAUCAUUCAAGAAGAGAAUAUGAAGAUUUUACAAAAGUGUUCCAUAAGAUUUGUUUUUUUUAAAGAUAGUAUGAUAUACUUAAAAUAAAGUAAAAAAAUUAGAGAUAAAUUUUGAUAAAUAAAGAAUGAGGGUAUUUGUGGAAGAUGCUUUUAAAAUAUUAGGGACCAUAUAUAAGACAAGGAUUCAAGAUCAAAGAAUAAAAUUAACUCGACAUCAAAACAACUAUUAGAUAGAAGGUAAGAAGGUCCUAGCUAGACCACAAGAAAUGAGUUGUCGAGACCGAGGAUCCCCUCAGCCUUCAUUCUUAUAUAUAUUAGAUUCUAAGAAGCUUCUUGAGAAGUUUUUAUGAGGCUUGACAAUAUAGCAAGCCUAAGAUUCUCGUUUGGUAAUUUAUUAAAUCAUCUAAAGCCUUUUAGAACCUUCUAGGACCUCCCAUGAUCUUUUAGAACUUUCUUAAAAUCUACCAAAAUCUUUUAGAAGCUUCUAGAACCUCCUAGAAUCUUCAAGAGCCUUCUUAGAAUCUAUUGGUAUCUUUUAGAAUCUUCUAAAAUCUUUUAGAAAUUUUUGGAAUCUUCUUCAGUUGUAUGUCGAUGACAUCACUUCUUCUUCUAACUUUGAGGUCUUCGAUAAGCAAUGUUACAGCAAGCUAAUAUAUGCGCAAAAAGUUGAAGAUCUAUCACAUGGUAUCCGCUAUAUAUUCCAGUUGUUUUUUGUGAGGUAAAUGGUUCAUAGGUCCUGAUGGCCAUUGAUAGUGCUCCUAGCCUUUUACUUGUGAUCAAGCAUAAAUUUUGAUAUCUUUAUUAUAGAAUUAUCUUGCAAACAUUUUUUUUGGAUAUCUUGCAUAAGUAGAUUCUACCUCAAACACAAUUAUCAGUGACUUAUUAGUAGGUAUCUUUUGAUAUCUUUGUGGUUCAAGCAGUUCUUUAACUCAAGGUCAUCUCUGCAAGAUACUUAGUUGAGAUGGUAUGAUAGAUAAGGCAUCUUUUUCUUGACUAUCCAUAUCAUAUAAAGUAGACAAGACCAAAAGAAUAUAAACAAGCUAUAGUCAUGAAUUCAAACUACUGACUUAUACCAUUCUAAAUAUUUGACAAUAAAUGCCUCUUCAGAGGUUGCCUCCCUUUUUUUUUUAUGAGGCAAAGAACUAAGAAUCUUCAUGGUGAAGCCAUCUUACCAAACUAUUAUUCUUCAUUUUGCUACUUUUAGUCUAGAUAGAUGUCAUUGAUGGAACCUUUGAACCUUUGUAUAUUUAUAAGGUUACUAAUUGGUUUUCAUGUCCAAUUGAUGAUAUCAUAUCUGUGCCAAUAGACCACAUAUUCAAGCCUUCUAUGUCUGAUCCUUGAAUCUAAUACCUCUUCUACUUCAAAUUUAACAUGAUCAUUGAUUUCAACCAUAGGAGGUAGUGGUUGUCUUUCACCUAGUAUGUUUGAUUCUUUAUACCUUUCCAAAAGUGAAACAUGAAAGACUGGAUGAAUUUUCAUGAAUGAAGGUAACUCCAAGUAAUAAAUUAUGUAAUUAAUUUAUUUUUGAAUCACAAAUGGUCCUAGCCUCUAAUAGUCCAACUUAUCACAUGGCUUGUUGAUUUUCAUAUUACACCAAAGAAGCCAUACUUUGUUACUAACUUGAAAGAAGGAUGUUUCUUCUCAAUUCAUCUGCUAAUAGCUUAUAAUGUUGUUGAGCCCUUUCUAGAUGAUACUUCAUGGCUGCUUGAAGUUUGGCCAUCUUCAUAGCAAACUCCUUUGCUACUGGAUUUAUCGACUUUGAAGGCUCUAUCAUAUCUAACUUUUGAUGAUGACCAUUAUUUAAAUAGAAUGGUGUUUGCUGUGUAGAUACAUGGAUUGUGUUAUUAUAUAUAAACUCUGAUAACAAUAAGUAGGAAGUUCAAUCGUCUUAUUGAUAGUUGAUGUUAUACCUCAAAUAUUACUCAAGAAUUUGGUUGACCUACUUCGUUUGGCCAUUAAUUUGAGGAUAGAAGGCAAAAAAAAAGUUGAUGUUAAUCUUAAGAAUCUUAAAAAGUACCUUCCAAAACCUUGAUACAAAUUAUGGCCCAAGAUCUGAUACAAUGUCGUCUAGUAAUUUGUGGUAAUAAUAGACAUUGUCAAUAAAGAGUCUAGUCAUCUCUUCAUUAGUAAUUAAUUUCUUGUAAGGUAUAAAAUGUGCCAUCUUGGUCAAUCGAUCAACAACUAUGAAGAUAGUAUCAAAUGAAUUUGAUAGUGGAAGAUCUAUAAUAAAAUCCAUAGAAAUAGAUGAGCAUGGUUGUCUUAGAAUAGGAAGGGGUUGAAGAAGUCCAUAUGGCGAAUGUCGAGGAUUCUUUGUCCUUGAACAAGUAUCAUAUGAUAGUACAAAUUCUUUAAUGUCUUUGCACAUUUUAGACCAUCAAAAGUCUCUAGAUAAAAAUUCCAAGGUCUUAUUGAAUCCAAAAUGUUUAACUGCUGGCAAGUCAUGGCAUGUUUAAAGAAUGCAUAGAUAAGUUGGUCCUUCAAAAAUGAACAAACAUUCUUCAAAGAAUAAGAAGUUAUCUUCAUACUUGAAUUUAGAAGGUUUUUCAAGAAGGUUAUUGGCAAGACACUUGAUAUUAAGAACAAGAGGGUCUAUGUUUGAUCAAACCUCAUCAAAAAAUAAUAAAUCUACAGGCAUUGAUACAUUGGUUGAUCAAAGAUGAAAUUGCUCAAGUUUUAACAAAGUCACCUAUUGUCAUAUUAUGUGGCAUUUGCCUUGAGAAUACAUUGGGCAUCUAGUUGUAGAAGAUAAAAAGAAAAUUGCAACAACAAGUUUUAACAACUCUAAUAGAUUUUUUAAAAAAUUAUAAUUAAAGAUUAACAAGUAUAAUUCAAACAUCAAUCAAAUUAAAUCAAAAUUGCAAAGGAAUUAUGUAAGAAAUACAAAGUAUUCCUAAAAAUCCUUUAAAUAAAUCAUAAAGAAAUAAUAUAGGAAUUCAAAAAUAUACUAAAAUAAAAUUUUUAAUAAAAUAUAAAAAUAGAAAUCUUAAUUAAAUCCUAUUAAAAUCCUAACUAAAUUCUAAAUAAAUCUUAGUCAAACCUUAACCAAAUCCUAAUCAAAUUUUAGUCAAAUCUUAACAAAAUCCUAACCAAAUCCUAACCAAAUUCUAACCAAAUCCUAGUCAAAUCCUUAUAAAUCUUAAUCAAAUCCUAAUAAAUCAUAAUGAAAUCCUAAUGAAAUCUUAAACAAACCUUAAUCAAAUCUUAGUCAAGCCCUAAAUAAUUCUUAAGCAAAUCUUAAUCAAAUCCUCAAUAAAACCUAAUCUAAGCUUAACUAAAUCCUAAUCAAAUCCUAGUCAAAUCUUAACUAAAUCUUAAUCAAAUACUAAUAAAAUCCUAAUCAAAUCCUAACCAAAUCCUAACCAAAUUCUAACCAAAUCCUAACCAAAUCCUAACCAAAUCCUAAUCAAAUUCUAAUCAAUUAUAAAUAAAUCCUAAAUAAAUCCUAAUCAAAUCUUAAUCAAAUCUUAGUCAAAUCCUAACCAAAUCCUAACCAAAUCCUAACUAAAUCCUAACCAAGCCCUAACCAAAUUCUAACUAAGUCUUAACCAAAUCCUAGUCAAAUCUUAACCAAAUCCUAAUCAGAUCUAAAUAAAUCUUAGACAAAUCCUAAACAAAUUCUAACCAAAUCCUAGUAAAAUUCUAAUAAAUCCUAAUCAAAUACUAAUCAAAUCUUAAAAAAAAAUUAAUCAAAUCCUAAUCAAAUCUUAAACAAAUCCUAAUCAAAUUCUAAUCAAAUCCUAAAUAAAUCCUAAUCAAAUCCUAACCAAAUUCUAAUCAAUCCAAAAUAAAUCUUAAUCAAACCUUAAACAAAUUCUAGCCAAAUCCUAAUCAGAUCCUAACAAAUCCUAACCAAAUCCUAAAAAAACCUAAAUAAAUCUUAACCAAAUCCUAAUCAAAUCCUAAACAUAUUCUAACAAAAUCCUAAAUAAUUCAAGUAAUUCCUACAGCAGAUUUAAACCUCAAUAACUAAUGAAUGAACUAUUGAUUUUAACUCAAAUUUUUCACACCUCUUCAAAAUCUUUGAUUGCAAUUUUAACUUGAUUAUAACUAGAAAAUCCAUCAAGAAAUGAAUAACAUUCAUGUCCAGCGACAACAUCCAAUAUACUAUCUAUGAAUGGUAAAGAAAAAUAAUCCUUCUUGAUAGCCGCAUUUAAUUUGUAAAAAUCUUGACAGAUGCAAACUUUUCCAUUCUUUUUUGAUACCAUAACAAUUAGUGAAAUCCAUUCACUAAAAAGAACUGGAUAGAUAAAUCCAACCUCCAAGAAUUUAUCCAGCUCUUCUUUUAUUAUAAGUAAGUAUUUUGGAUUAAAUCGAUGUUAUCUUUGGCAUACUGGUGUAGCAUUCUCCUCCAAUAUAAUUCGAUGCUUAUAAACUUCAUUUGGAAUUCCUUUCAAAUCCGCAUAAGACUAUAUAAAAGUAGUUUUAUGCAUUAAAAAGUAAUCCAUCUAAAUUUCUUUCUCCUUGCCUUUUAUACCAUCGUAAAUCUGAAUGAUUUGGAGAGCCUCCCCUAUACCUAAAUUAAUUGGUUGACAUCUUAGAAUUUCAGGAGUCUCUGCAAUAAUGUUCUGCUCUAUUUCAAAAUCUUUCAUAAAAUCCGACAAAUUAGAACUUUUCAACUCCAGUUCAAUAGUACUAACCUAAUUAACAUCUUGUCUAUUCAUCCAAUAUGCAAUCAUAUGAUCAGAAUCAUCAAUAACAUCUGGAGGAACUAAGUAUUUUCCCGAUCCCUUGUACUGAUAUUUCAUUCUAGUGUGCUCAACAAUUUACCUUGUAUCACCAUAAAUUGAGUCAAGUGUACCAAUUUCUUCUUUGGUAGACUUAUUUUCACAAUUUGAUGUGAAUUUUGAAUUGGCCAAUUGAAUUUCUCCAUGAUAUUGGAUAGGGUAUAUUUGAAGCUUAAUUUUAUCAUUAUCUUUUCUAAUUGUCAAUGUACUAUAGCCCCAGUCAUUUCGAGCUUUAGCUUGAUACAACCACGGUCGCCCCAAUAAAAUUGGAUAUGACAAUAUAGAGCUUCACAAUCAAAAAAUAAUAUAAUCAAUUUUGUAGAUAAUCCCCGCAAUUAUAGUAUCAAUACUUCGUAAAAUAUCCAUAGGUUUAACUCGAUUAGAAUCAACCAUUCUCAAAACCACUGUAGUAUACAAUAAGUGAUCCAAACCCAACUCCUCUAUUGUAGUGGCAUUCAUAAGAUUUAAACUAGAUCUUCCAUCUACUUGCACUCUCAAUACUAAUACUCCAUCAAUUGAGAUAUCAAUCGUUGGUGCACCCGGAUCAGGAUUCAAACUUACUUCUCAGAUUUCUUUAUUUUGAGAUCUGGACGAAUUAAUGAGGAAUUUAAGAUAGUUUGGCACUAAGAUGCUACUACCAAUAGUUGCUUCAUAGAGAUCAUGGGCUAUAUGGUACCCAAGUCUUUUAAAAUAUCAUAUGAUUUUGUAUUAGUGAUAGUUUCCAAUGUCCAUUUCUUCUUCCCAGUCCUACACACCAACGUAGGUAAAUUAGUUUUCUCUAUAUUCGAAAUUAGUAAAGCUACUAGAAUUAAAUUUGACAGAGCUUGUAAAAUUGGUUCUUUCAAUGAUUAAGAUUGUUCUCCUAAUUGGACUAAUAUUGGUUCCUUGGAAUUCAUGCCUCUUAAAGGAUCUUUCAAUGAAAAGGACGUUUUCUGAAACUGUGUAGAGAACAGAACAGCUUGAAACGGAAUCGAAGCCUCUAUAAUUGAUACAUCAUUGGAAUGCACAAUUGAUUCAUGUCUUAUAUUGAGUAAAGAGCCCAUGUCAAGACCUGGAUUGGAUAGCCCUAUUAUUUGGUCCAAUUGGCCCUUUGCUUAAGAAUCACCCAAAUGUUGAAUUGGUCCUUUCCCCUUUUGCUGACUUCUUGUAAGGAUAGCUUGAACUACUUCUACCUGAUGAACUGAUGAUUCCUGUGUCUUGUUAUUUUUUUCUUCUAUAAUUUGCUCAAUCGAUUGUAUCUUCUGAUCAUGGUUAUUAGAAAAAAAUGGAAAAGUGCAUUGAUAAUGAAAAUGACUCGAUUGCUUAUAAUUUCCACAUAUUGGAGCAUAUUCGUCUAUAAACCUUGGACUAGGGCAUUCACUGGCAUAAUGACCAAUUUGUUGGCACUGAUAGCAAUGUAGUGGUUUUUGGUCCAUACCAUCAGGUACACUUGGAGUCUCCACUGGAAUAUAUCUACUAGGCCGAUUCUAGGUAGCCAUAGUAAAUGAUCUUAGCUAACCAGUUACUAAUGGUCGAGAAUUAGACUACUGAGUUGGUAUAGUUUGAGGACUACUUCCUUGAUUAUUUCUACCAUUCUACAUAUUUGUUCCAUAAACCAGAUUAUAAUUAGUAUUUUGAAAAUUUCCAAAGCCAUAAUUAGCUCAAUUUGGAUGAUUACUAUUCCAACCACUCAUAUUUCUAAUUUAUACUUGAUUAACAUCCCAUUGAAUUGGUUAUAUUAAUGUUUGAUUAUUGAACUGUUGUUACCUUUCUAAAUGCCAGUAGUUUUAGGUAGGGUACUUUUCUCUGUAAAAUAUAUAUUGAAUACCCAUUUGUUUGGGUGGUGGACAUUCCAUAUCAAAAUGACCUUAUCCCUUACAAUUAUUACACCAUACAUUAGGUCUCAUAAUAGAAGGCUUAUGUCGCUUCUCUUUAUUUUUAGCCAAAUUCACAGCCAAUAUUUCCAUCUACUUUAUUAGAUUUAAUAACAAGGCUUCAUUUGGAUCUUUAACGGUCACAUUUCUGAACAACUCCGAUUGUUGAUAGGUUGAGGAUGUAAAAUAAGAUGUCAUUGUUAUUGGCGCUAUUGCUUGGAGUAGUGUAGUAUUAAUUGAUUUUUGCAACAUAACAUUCUUCAUGUUGGAGUCAGCCAUUAGUGGAUAAUUAUCUAUCAACUUAUUUUUCGGUUGUAUUUGUUGGCUUCCUAAUCUUUGAAUCAUCGUGGCCCUCAUUGUUAACAAUUGGUCAUAAUGACAUUCUUGCCACACCUUUGCUUGUAUCAACGAUGCCUCUACUGUAGUUGGUCAAGCCUCUUUUAUAAAUAUUUUCAAUUUUGGUGGAUGUAAAUCAUUGAUUAAUAUCAACAAUAUAAACACAUCUGGCAUUUGAUUAUUUGUCCAUUUAUAAAGUAUAUCCACGACCUGGCCAUAAUAGGACUCUACUGAUUCUCCCGCAAACAUUCUGCUAUUCAUAAAACUUUCUCUAAACCGAUCUUCAAAUCCAAUUGGUCUAAAAUGGAUUAGGAAGGCAUUCCUCAAGGCCUCCCAAUUGGAAAAUCUAUCCACUGGUUGCUGAUUAUAUCAUUCAAAAGCUAUAUCUUUUAAAAUUACUGGCAACCAUCUCAACCAAAUGUCUUUCGUUCUAUCAUUAUUAGUGACGUAAGGUGUCAAGAAUUGAGAUAUAUGGUGAUCGGGAUCAAAGCUCGACCAACCACUAAAAGUAUGUAAUGUUGCCUGACUUGUAGUGCGAUCUCCUACUACUCCCAUUUAUACUACAAUUGGUACUUCUGGCACUCCCGUGGCCAUCAAUGUUAUCACUGGUCUCUUUACUAUUUAAAUUUGAAUUUUUCUUCUUUUGGUUUUACUUGGACCUACAAUUCCUUUUUGUGGUUCUCGUAGGAGAUUUCUUAUACAUAAUCGCUUUUGUCUUUCUUUCACUUGUCGAUUAAUUUUUUGAUAAUCCUCUCUUUCAUGAUUAUCAUUCAUAAUCUUUCAUUCUUCCCAGCAAAAUCAAUACUGCUUUGAAUUAUAACUCACAUAUUUGUAACCCUAAAACUGGUUCUUCUCACGUUCUCAUUCAACAUAUAAUUCCAUCUCCCAUACCAUCAAUUUCUAACAUUUUAUAUUGUUAUCUUUUCCUCGGCAAAAGUGCCAAAAUAUUGUUCUCGUUGUGCUCAAGCUUCAAUAUACCAAAGCAAUUGAACUAAUAGAGGUGGGUUCGAAUAUAGGGAAACACUGGUUAUAUGAAUUUGGUCUGUUAGUAUCACAAUUGAUUAUACUCUAGCUAUCUAAAAUCAAUUAUCAAACUAUAAAAUACCAAGGCUUACUAUUUCCAUCUUAAUUCAAUACAUAAUCCAUUCUACGAUUAUCAAUUCAAUAAUACUUCCAUAUUCUUAUCAGUUCAUCUUCCACUUACUUUCUUUGUAAUUUAUAUAUAUUCAAUUAUUGAUCUCCAGCUUAUUUAAUAUAUUCAGUUUCUCAAUUCAUCACACAAAAUUCAAUAUCUUUACUUAAUACAAUACAAUUCGAUAAUCUAAAUUCUCAAGGUCACAAAUUUUCUCCAAAUCAGUCAGUCCAAAGUCAUAUUCCAUAAUAUUCUAAUCACAAUUUCAACAAUACUUCUCUCAAUCACAAUUCUUCAUAAAAAAAUAAUAAAAGCAAAGAAAACAAAGAGGUAGCACCAAGCUUACCCAAGGUUACGACUCUCACAGUCUAGCCCCAAUCUCUCUUUUCUCAACCACUUUAUCCUACCAAAAGAUGGACCAUUGGCCAAUAGAUUCCAAAAGUUAUGACCCUUUGAAUUCUUAACCAUUUGUUCCAGAAACAACCUACUGUUAUCAACUAAACUAUCUAAGCAUCAGUCUAAUUCUCAAGGUUAUCAAUAACCAACUAGUAACUUACUACAAAAUUUAUUUACAUAUUUUACAGUUAUCAAUAACCAACUAGUAACUUACCACAAAAUUUAUUUAUCUAUUCUACAAGGAUCUUUCCACAGAAAGGACGUUUCUCUAAAAUGGCAUAGAGAAUAGAACAGCUUGAAAUAGAACCAAAACCUCCGUAAUCGGGACCUCAUUGGGUUGCCCAACCGAGUCAGGUCUCAUACUGGGUAAGAGGCCUGUAAGAGGACUUGGAUUGGAUGUCCCCGUAAUUGGGUCAAAUUGGCCUUCGUAUCAGGCUCAUCCAAAUAUUGAAUUGGUCCUUUCUCCUUUUGCCAACUUUUGGUAAGAACAGCUUGGAUACAUUCCACCCGAUUUACCAAAAAAUCUUGAGGACCUCCAUUUAUCUCCUCAAUUUUUUUCUUGGCUUUGGAUCUGCUGAUCCCGAUUAUUGAAAUUGAACGGAGCAUUACAUUGUUGAUAAGUAUAUUCCAAUUGCUUGCAAUUCCCACACAUUUGCACGUAAUUGUCAUUGACUCUGGGAUUGGGACAUUCAUUAGCAUAAUGAUCAAUCUGUCUACAACGGAAACAACAAAGUGGUCUUCUUGUACCCCCGUCAGGCAUAUUGGGUGUCUCCACCAGUAUAUACCUAUUAAGCUUAUUCCAUGUAGGGUUAGAAAAUGAUCCUGGUUGUCCCAUUAGUACAAAGGGUACUUGAUUCCAUGAUGCUGGUGGAGCAUAUUGUUGAUGUCACGUACGGUGGUAUAGCUUGCAAUGGAGUAACAUUAACUGACCCUCAAAUAUUGGCACUGGAAUUGGCUACUAUUUCCAACAUCCAAUAUGACUAAAUAUUAAUAAAAUCUUUUUCAUUUAUACUUUCACCAUAUAGUCAUGUUACAACAUGACAAUGCCAUUAAAUUUCUUGGACAAGGCAAUUCUUAUUUUUUUAAUUCUUGAACAAUGUUCUAUCAUGAAAAAAAUAUUAUGAUUUGAUAUAGAUUUUGAAGCAAUUUCAACUAACUUUAUGUCUUUAUUUUAUGUCAAUUUUAUUACUUCUUCUAGUAAUAAAUUGAGCUGAUGCAUUAUAAGCAUUAAUUUCUUUAAUUACUCUUCCAUUUAUGCUAUUGCAUUCUUUAUUUUAAAAAGCUUUGCUAUAAUAAUACAAUAGAUAAUAGUUCUAAGUUAGAUAGUAUAUAUAAAAGCAUGAGUAAGACCUUCUUUAUUCUUAUCGUUUUUUUUUUUUUUCUUUUAGUCUAGUUUUAAAGGUCACUAUUUUUUAUUUUUUUUUGUUUUUUAUCUUUUACCAAUAGUCAUUCUAUUUUUUUUUUUAUAUAUAUAUAUAUAUAAUAUGUAUCAUAUAAGUUGAAUAUCUAUUGGAGGUUCUAUAUAGGUAAUUAUUAGAAUAAAUAUGUAUAUUUUUAAUAUUUUAAUAUGGAUGAAAUGAAUUUUAAAUAAUAUUAUUUAUAUGCAAGAUUUAACAAUGUAUAAAUAUUUUAAUAAUAUAAUAUUUAUAUUAUUAAUUAAAAAUAUUUAUAUAUCAAAUAUAUUUAGAAAUUUUGAUAUAUCAAUUUAAAGAGCAUUUCUUUUUUCUAAGGAUCUACAUAUAUAAAUAAACAAAUAAAAAUUUGUAAUUCUUAUAUUUUUUAAAAUUUCAUGACAUAUGUGGCUUUUAAUUUUGUUAAUUGUAUUCUUACUUCAAUAGGUGUACUCUCUAAAACGUAAAUUCUAUAACACAAAAAUAAAUAUUGUGAUACAUUAAUGAUACAAAGUUAUAUUAUAUUAUUUUAUUUCAAUAUAAUAAAUACAUUUAUACAAAAUUAGAUGUGAAAUGUAUACAGAGAGCUUAAGCACAUGUCAAGGACAAGAACUUAAAGAAUGUAAAUAAAUAAAUAAGGUAUUUUAAAUAUAUAUAUAUAUAUAUAUAUAUAUAUAUAAAAGAAUUAAAAAAAUAAAUAUAUUUAAAAAAAAUCAAAUGGCUAUUGCCAAAAGGCAAAAAUACUAUAGACUUUUGAAACUAGAUUAAAAAUAAAAUAAAAAAUUGGCAAGAAUAAGGCAUCACUUUAAAUAUAUAUAUAUAUAUAUAUAUAUAUAUAUAUAUAUACAUAAGAGUUAUAUAAUAAUGUAUCCAAGACUUCAAACACAUGUCUAACUUACAAAACAAGCUUUAUAUAUGUAUGUCACAUGUCCAACUUGUACUAUAAGUAGCCAAUAUGUACAACACAUGGCCAAUUUAUGGACAAGUUUUCAAUCUAUUAAUUAUAUAUAGACACGUAUAAAGGUAAAGUUGCAUCUAUGAAGCUUUUAAGAAGCUUUUCUAUAAGAUAUUAUUAAAUUUAUUUAUUUUUAUUUAUUCAUAUUAUAUAAAUAAUUAUUAGAGUAAAUAUGGAUGUUCGUGACAACACACAAUUCAACAUUGUCUAUAGAAGCAAUAUCACUAUAAAAUGAAGAGGAUGGCUGAUAAAAAAAAUAUAUGUCAAAAAAUAAAUUCAUAUAGCUGCAUUAAAGAUUGUGCAACUAAAAUCCUAUUCAACACCUAGUAAAGGUCUUAUUUUUUCUUUAUAAUUAUUACCUUGUUUUAUUAUAUGUUUUUUUUCAAGACCUAAAAAUUACAAAGCCUCUAAUUUUUUAGAUUUAUGAAUCUUUACUAGUAUUUUAGAUGAAGAAUUAAUUAAAAGACAUAAAAUACUCUUUAUAAAAAAAACUAAGUUAGUCCAUAUAGAAGUCAUAGAUGGUUUUUUUAUCUUUUAAAGAUGUUAAGUAUAAAAUUAUUCUUAUAGAUUGAAUAAUAAAUGAUUAUAAUAAUUUAAUAAUAAUUAAUAUCAUUAGAUUUCUUUUUAAUUUAAUUAUUUUAGGUUUAAUGUGGUAAAAAAAUUAUAAUUCUUAGAUAGAUAGGAUUUAUCAUAAUUUUAAUUUUUUUAUAGUAAAAUCAAGUCUUUUUUUUUACUAAAUAAAAAAUCAUAAAUCUAAUAAAAUCAAAUGCUUGUUUUUUUGUGCAAUAAUUUUUAUACAUGCUACAAAAGAAGGAUUUUUUUUUUUAUUUAUGCCACACUCAUUUUAAAUGUGAAAAAACUUCAAAAGAAAUUCUAAUUGAGUAUAAGAAUUAUUAAGAUGUCUUUCAAAAAAAUACAAAUAUUAUUUUAAAGCAUUUUUCUAAUGAUUACUCAAUUUAUCUUUAAGAAAAAAUUCAAUUGCUACAUAUAAUGUAUAAAAAAAUAAGUUAACUUUACUCAAAAAAUACAUUGAUGAGAGCUUAGUAAAAAACUUCAUAAGCUAUUUUAAAAUUUUAGGAAGAACUUCUACCUUAUUUAAGAAGAAAGAAGAUAAAUAGAUGAUUAUGUUUUGAAUUAGAUAAGGAUAUUUUGAAUAUAAUGUCAUGCCUUUAGGACUCAUAAAUUUUCUAAUUUUUUUAAUAUCUAAUAAAUAAUUUUUUUUAUAAAAAUUUUAGAUAAUUUUAUUGUUUAUUAUUUAGAUUAUUUUUAAAAUAUAAUCUAAGAACAUAAAAGAGUAUAAAAUAUAUUUUUGUUGUAUGUUGCAAAAACUUAGAAAUAUAAGACUAUAGGCAAAGAUAGAGAAGUAUAUAUUUUAUACAAAUUAAGUUGAUUUUUUAAGAUAUGUAAUCUAAAUUUUUUUUUUAUAAUAGAUUUUAAGAAAGUUCAAACUAUCAUGGAUUAUAAGCUUUUAAGAAUAACAAAAAAUUCUAAUAUUUUUUGAAAUUUUCUAAUUAUCAUCAAAUCUUUAUAAAAAACUCUUUCCAAAUUACAAUUCCAUUUACAUAUUUGACUUGUAAAGAAAAACUUGAAUAAAACAAAGAAGCUAAAACAAUAUUUGAAGAUUUAAAGAGAAUUUUUAUAUUUGUACCAAUCUUGUAUUAAGUUGACUUUUUUAACAUAUUUUUUUAUGAAUAUAGAUACAUCAAAUUUUAUCUUUAAUAUGACAUUGCUACAAAUAGGAGCAAAUGAUAAACUUUACUUUAUAGUUUUUCAUUCAAAAAACUUUUCAAUAACUAAGAUGAAUUAUAAGAUUUGCAACAAAGAACUUCUUGUAACUCUAGAUGUAUUUUAAGAAUUUUUUCAUUAUUUAGAAGAUACUUCUAAUCUAAUGACUACUUAUAGAAAUCAUAAGAAUCUUAAGUAUUUUAUAUUAAGACAUAUUUUGAAUUAUUUUCAAAUUUCUUACACCAUGUUUUUAUUAAGAUUUGUAUUUAAUAUCACUUAUUAGCCAAGAAAAUAAAAUUUUUUUAGAUACCCUUUUUGGCCUUUUCAUCUUUUGCAAAAAAAUAAAAUAAAAUAAAAUAAGUUCAACUUUUGAUUUACAACAAACUAUUCUUUUGAAGCCAAAAUAAUUUCAUUUUUAAGCAAUCAAAUUAAUGUUAAUUAUUGAUUUAAUCUUUUUUAAUUAAGUCUAAUCAAAUAUUUUAUUAAUUCUUCUUAUUCAUGAAAAAAUAUUUUUAUUACUAUUAUCAAUUAGCAAAUAAUAUUAUAUAAGAUAAAAAGUUUCAAUUUUUAUCUAGAUUUUUGAUAAUUCUUUUCAAGAUAUUGAAAAUAGAGAUAAAAUUAUCUUUGACUUUCUAUCCUUAAAUUGAUGGAGAAAAUGCAUGAAUCAAGUUUUGAAAUAAUAUUUAAAAUAUACCAUUAAUUACCAUCAAGAUAAUUGAAAAAUUCUUUCACCAUUGGCAAAUUUUGUUUAUAAUAACAUAAUAUAUUUUUUAACUCAAAAAAUAUCUUUAUAUAUUGAUUAUAAUUAUUAUUUUUAAUUUUAUAUUUUUGGCUUUUUAAAAUCUAAUAAUCCUACAACAAAAUAUUUAAAAAAUUAUUUCUUGGAACUAAAUGCAAUAAUAAAAGCAUAAUUGAAAAAAAUUCAAGAAUAAUAAUACAUUAAUUUUUAUUUCUAUCAUAAGUAAUAACUUCAAUUCAACAUUGGAAAUAAGAUAUGAUUAUUUUAUUAUAAUAUUAAGACUAUUUACUUUUGUAAUAAGUUGGAUUAUUGUAGGCUUUGACCAUUUCUUAUUUAUCAACAAAUCAAUCUAACUCUAUAUUGGUUAUAUCUAUUAAAGUCUAUGAAGAUCCAUCUUUUGUUCUAUAUAAUUAUUUUUUAGCAAUACAAGAUAGUGGAUAUACCAAAAAUUAGACAAAUACCACUUUCUUUCAUAGAAGUGAAUAAUAAUCAAGAAUUUAUAAUAGAAUAGGUUUAAUAUUCAAGAUAGUACCAAAAUAGAUUAAAAUAUUUUAUAAAUUGGUGUAGAUAUGAUAUUAAUGAAUACAUAUGAAAGUCAUUUAAGAAUCUUGUAAAUACAAAAAAGAAGAUUGAUGCUUUUUAUUGAUGAUAUCUAUUAAAAUAAAAAUAAAGAGUCAAAUCUUUUUUUGUUAUAAAGCAAAGAAGGUUCAAAAAAGAUUGUAUUUUAUCUUUUAUUUUUAUUUGUGUUUUCUUUAUAUUUAUGAUAUUAAUAAAUAAGAUGAUAAAAAAACAAAAAAAUUCAACUCAAGAGCUAUCUUUUGAUGAGUUAUAAGAUGAGCUAUUGAAAUUUUCAUAGCCUUUAAGAUGAUAUAAUAGAAAUCAAGACCUUUACAAAUAACAUUCUUUUUUAAAUAGAUGGUAAAAUACAACGCAUUUGGUAUCAUGACUUUAAAAGAGACUUUUAAUGUUUGAUGAUACUUUAGAGAUAGGAACCACUUUUGAUAGUAUUUUAAUUUUUUAAAAUUUUAACUAAGUUAUAAAAGUUUCAACCAUGAUCAAAUAAUAGGGUGAUUUUUUUGUCUUCGUAUUUUAUACUAUUGAUGGCUGAAAAGAUCCAUUAACUAUCUUUAAAUAAAAAAAAUUAAAGUAUGUGACAAAUAUAAUUUGCAACAUCUUAGACUUCUUCAAUAUGUGAUCACUACUGCUUAUAGAACUUGUUCUUAGAAAGGAGAGGGAGGGAGGAAAGUAGAAAGAAAAGAUAUAUUAUGAUAGAUAUAGUAAUUAUUAAAAUAAAAAGAAUUAUAUAGAAGUUAAUUGAAUUAGAUUAAUUUGAUAAUAUCUUAUAGACAAGUUUCUUAAAAGCUUCAUAGAUGUAGAUUUCACUUUUCAAGUUUUUAUAAAUGAUUAGAACGUUAAAAACUUAGCUAACUAGUUGAUCAAGUGUGUCUAGUCUUCUUAUCUUUAGUAAUAGCUAUUCUUAUUUUUUCUUGAAUAUACAUAUUUUUUAUUUUAUUUUUUUCAUCUCUCUUUGAUCUAUAUCUCACUUAUUUAUUUAUAUUCUUUAAGUUCUUUUCUUUAAUAAUACAAUAUUAUAAAAAUAUAUUUUUUUAAUUAGAAUUUAUAUGAAAAUAAUUAUAAAAGAUAGAGAAACUUGAUAAACUACAUUUAUAUAAAGUAUAUAUAAUAUAAGAAAUAAAUAUAACAUCAAAAUUUGUGAUUGAUUUUUUAAAGUUUUAAAGGUCUCUAAGAUACUUUAUAUUAAUUAAUUUUCUAUUUUUUUUUUUUUGUAAUAAUGUAAAUCUUUAAUUUUUUUUUUAAAAUACCGAUUAUUAAGUAAGAUGUAUUUUUAAGUUAUGACAAUGAUAUAUACUACCUAAUUUGAUAUGAUGUUAAGUCAACCUUGCUUCUAUAAUUUACCAAUAAGUUCUUAUUUUUUUAAUAAUAUUUAUUUUUAUUAUUUUUAAAAAAAUUACUUUUUAAAUACUUUUAAUUUAUUUGAAUAGGUUUUUUAUUUAUUAUAAGAAAAUUUAAAUAAUAAGAGUUUCAUAGAAUUUUAUAAAUAUUUGAUUUUUAAGUUUUUUUUGCAGAAAAUUAAAUAAAUUAUAUAAAGAAUAAAAAAUGGCUGAUUUAUUUUAUAGAAAGUAUGAAAAAAAAUUUGAAAACUUUAGUGACUUUAUUCUUUAAUAGUUUAUUAUAUUUGAUCUCUUCUAUCAAAAACUUUGUAAUAAUGUGUAAUAAGAGAUACAAAAAUCAAAAUGUAAAAUGAGUGAUAAAUCAUUAUUUAAAUCACUAAAAAAAUCUAAAAACUAGCUUAUAUAAACCUAAAAUUAAAUUAUUAUUUGAAAUAUGCAAUUUAUUUAAGAUUUUUUUUAACUUAAUAUAGUUGCAUUGAUUAUAAUAUAUAUUAUUGAUUUUGCUUCUAAAAUUCUAUAUGAUUAUUUUUAAAAUAUAAAUAUUUAUGUAUUUACCUUAUGUAUUAAAAUUAUAAAAUAUAAAAUAUAUAAAUAUGAAAAAUUAAUCCUAAAAUAAAAUUAAAAUUUAUCAUAAAAGAAUUGAAUAAUAUUAUUAAUUUCUCUCUAGUUAUAAAUAUAGAAUUUUAAAUUUAUAUAUAUAUAUAAUAAAAUAAAAUAUUGAAUAAAAAAAGAAAAAAAAUCUAUAAUCUUAAGUAAAAAAAAUUUAAUUUAUUGGUUAAAUACUCAAAUAUUAUAUAUAUAUAUAUAUAUAUAGUUUGAUAAUAGUAUUUUUAAAAUAGAAGUUGAAAGGCAUUGAUCAUGCUUGAAGUAUAUAAAAUCAAAAAAUCAUUGCUACCAAUAUAGAAUCAAUUAUCUAAAGUACAUUAUAGAAAUAGAUAGAAUCAAGGAAAGAUUAAAAAUUAAUUCUAAUUAUGUUUAUAGAUUCAAAUAAAUAAGAUAAUUAUAAAAAAUUAGUAAUUAAUUUUUUUAAAAAAUAUUGAAUAGAUCAACUUGAGGUUGCAUUAUUGAAAGUUUAUAAUCUAUAUACUUAAAUUCAAAUUCAUUCAUAAUUAUUCUAGGAAAAAUAAUUUUUUUUUGAAUUAGAAGAAUAUUAAUAAUUUAAUAGAGAAAUUAAAAAAAGAAUUAUUUAAAAUAAAUUUAAAAAUAUUCUUAUUUAAAAGGUAAUUAAAAAGAUAUAACUUAAUUAAUAUUCUAAAUAGAAAAAAUUGAAGAAUAAAAAAUCUUAUAAUAAAAAUCUAAUAAAAUAGUUAAUACAUAGGUUCAAGUGAAUAAGAAUCCAAAAGAACAACAAAACUAAAGAAGAAUACUGAUUGCAUUAAUUUUUUAACAAUAAAAAAAUAAAAGAGAAAAAAAAGAUAUUAGAAGUCUUAAUUCUAAAAUUAAAAAUCCAAAUUGAAAUAAUAAAAUAAAUUAUUAAAAGUAAAUUAAUUUUUAUAAUUUUUUAGAUUUAAUUUUUAAAAUUAUAUAUAAUAUAUUUAAAAAAUAAAUUCAAACUAAAGAUUUUAGAUAGUAUUUGUAUAUUUUUUGUAUUAAUUGUGCUAUUUUUAUAUUUCAAGCAUUUAGAUGAGAAAUUGUAGAAUUAAACUAUCAAGAUAAAGAUACUUGAUUAAAAAAAAAUAUGUUUAAUUUUUUGGUUUUAUGCUUGAAAAAAACUUGAAAAUGUAUUAUUGAUGUUAAAAAUUCUAAACAAUUUAAUGCAAAUAUUAAUAUAAGAGAAGUUGAAGAAUGCUUGUGAAUUUAACCAUGUAAAGUAGAGCAUGUAAAUUAGAGCAUAUUUCAAGAUUAUAUUUAGUUAUUUUUCUAUAAAAAAAUGUUAUUAGUUGGAGUUAUUUAUUUUACUACAAAUCAACAGAAGAAAUGAAUAAUAUAUUGAUUGUGAUUAAGAAUCAAGAGUAGAUGAAAACAAUGGUAUUUAAUAUUAAAAAAUUGAUUAUUUAGAAUCAACAAUAGAAUAAAAUUGCAUUCUACUUCAUCUUUUCUUCUUGAAACUUACUAAACUGAGCCAACCAAAUAAGGCUUCUCAAUUUCAACUAUUGAAAUGAUUUAGAAAUUGUUCCUUAUCAACGACUUGUAGGGAACACUCGGUAUCAAUAUUAUAAGCAGCAAAGAAUUGAGGAUACGUUUGUCCAGACAGAACUGGCUGCCCACUAAAGCAAUGAGUUGAAAUGCUAAUUUCAGGAGUUUUCAUGAGAAGAAGGUCGAAGCUCUUGAAUUCUCAGUAUGUGUUAAUUACUUGAUGUUGUUCAGUAGUGUGCUUCACAACGUGCUCUGGAAAUGCAUCAGAUUCGAGUCAGGGUUUGUCUCAUCGUGGUCGAUGAUGUUGCAGCUGGGACUUGAGUAGGGGUGUAAGCGUCAACGAUUUAUGAAGGAAGUCAUUUAAAUGGGGUAUCUGAGAGUGGAUUUUGUUUUUUGCCAUCUGCAUCAUUGAAAUUCAUGUAACACUAAUCAUCCUUUGUAUUUUCAAGGUUGCAAACCUUUGCUAUUUCUGAUUCUGGUCUUUAGACUGGACCUUACUAAUCAAUUCUGACUCAGUCAAAUGUACGUCUCAUUUCUCGAGAUGAAAUAAAGCUUCUUUCUUCAGCAAUUUGGUGCUGUAUAGGAGAGCGGGGAAGGUUUUUAUCAUCUCAUUUUCCUAACACCUCUUUACUGUUACCCUAGUUAUACUAUUUGUUUUCAUCUAGAACCUAAUGUGGACUCACAGUUGGGUCGUGUGUAUAUCCCAGCUGGUUAGAGUAAAUCAGCUGGAUGCAGUCUGAUCUGCGGACUAGCCAAGGUGCUACAGAACAACUGCACGAACGUGAAGACGUGCUCAGGACAGAAACGAGAUCAUAAAGGUGUAAAAACUUGUGUUUAUUUACGCCUGUUUGAAAUGACUUGUACAAAAUUGUGAUGAGCAAACAUUGGACUCGCGUCCAAAGAAGCACUAAAUGAGAUAGCGCACAAGCAGCUUACCUCUUCUUUCUGUGUGCAGGGUGAGAGGAGAGCGCAGCAGAGUAGAAGAACUAAUUUGAAGAAAAUCAAAAAAACUCUAGGGGGAACAGAAUCCUCAGCAACGAAUUAAGAAUCACUCUAAAAUCCACGUUUCGAAUCACUCAAAGCCUACCUCAUACCUUGGGAUAUUAUCUUGAUGGUGCUCAUUUCUCUCAAAGGGAUAUCCAGUAUGCAACUUAACGUUAUCCUUUGUUUUGUAGGAUGAGAACAACUUGAUGAGAACUCGAAAUGAUGAAGAAGAUUGACAAGUUUAGAAGGGCUAAACUCCUUCAUGCAAAUGAUGAACGAACAAAGUGUGGCAUUGCAGAAGGCCAGAUACCUCCACCAAACUUUGAAGGGCAGCGACUCUGUACCAAAGUUCAGGUGUAUUCAAGCUUCUAAACAAUGCUGAUUGUGAAAUAUCAAACAUAAUUCGACUAAUUCAUCGACAACAAAUCGUCGCUUGUAAUAGUUUUGUGUCGGUAGAUUGAUUCUGCAUGUAUCAGAUGGACAUAAGCUAGAAGAUCAUGCUUCUGAGUUCACAACCAUUGUAGAGCACACUCAGGAACUUGAGAAGCAGAAGAUUGAAUUGUCUCAGAAGCUGACGAACAUCUGUGCUCAUAUCAUUUGAUUGAAAAAUAAAAAAUAAAAAUAAAAAUCUCUAAAAAGGAACAUUCUUUGCUGUUUUUUUUCAAAACAUUACAUAUCCAAGUAUCAUUGUUCAUGCCUUAAGGACGAACAUUGGAACCAAAAACUAAAUUUUUUUUUUACUAGUGUUUUUUUGUAGGUAAUCUUGCACCUUCUUAGUAUCUAGUGAUGUGGUUGAUCCAUGCAUGAGUUAUUAAAAUAUUUACUAUUUCUUUUUGUUGAAAAUGAAAAAAUUCUUGUUUAGUUAUUGCAACUUUAGAGUUAAACCUUCGUAAAUAUUAAUGAACAAAAGGCAACAAAAAUUUAAAGAAGUUAUUAUAAUUGCAAUCAAGAUUUUGGAUUUGGUUAGAUGAAACAAAGUAGGAUGAAGAUGAUUGUAUAUGAUGUUUAUGUAUAUCAUAUGUAAAUUUAUUAUUUAUAAGUAAAGAGUGUUGGAAGUAAUAAUCAUUUUAUUCCACACCCUUGUUUGUGUGCAACCUUAGUGAUGCUAAAUGUUGAGACUUUAUUUCUUCAAUAGGUUAUAGGCUUAUACAUAUUUGCUUGUGAUUUUGGAGUUAUUUGAAGUUUUUAUUGUUGUAAAGAAUAGAUCAUUUUAUUAUUAUUAAUGUUAGAAUUUUAAUAAGGUGAAGAUACUUACAAAUUAACUUCUAAUUGCAAAUCAAUCUUUAGAAGAUGUGGAUAUUGAUAUGAUAUUAAUUAUGAGCUUAUUAGAAUCCUGUAAAUACUUAAUUAUGGCCUUAGAGUUCAAUAAUAUCAAGGAUCUUACAAUAAACAAUGUAACAACAAGACUAAGCAAUAAAAUGACUAAGGGAAAAAAAAAAAAAAAAAAAAAAAAAAAAAAAAUCCUCAAAUAAAGAUUUAACAUCCUAUUCAUAUUAAGAUAAGAAGAAAUAUUCUAGCUAAAUAUUUAUAAUUAAAAUUUUAUUUUAUUAUAAAAAAACCACAUCAUUUUUUUUAAAUUGAUAUAAAAAUAAGAAAGUAAACAAGAAGAAUACAAAUAGUAUCCAAGAUGAAUUUGGAGAAUAAGAUUAUACAUUCAUAGCUAAUAAAAAGAUCUUCAUAGCUACUAUAUCAAGGUGGAUUAUAGAUUUAAAUUAUUCUAAGCAUAUGAUAUCUUAUAAGUAUUUAUUUGAUACUUAUGAGGCCAUUUUAAUAUUUCAUAUAAUCUCAGUGAGUACGAAUAUAUGUAAAGCCAUAAAAAUUAGUUAUAUUGUGGUACAAAUUACUAUGAAUAAAAAUAUUAAUAUGAACAUAUUUAAAGACGUCUUCUAUGUGCUUAAGAUGAAAUAAAAGCUACACUUAAUUUAUAAACUUAUAAUAUGAAGCCUUAUGAUUAAUUUAGCAUGAAUGGAUAUUUUUUGAAAAAAUUGAGUAGAAACAUAGUUGUUAAUGGCUCUAAAUAAGAAAAUUUGUACUACUUCAAUUGUAAAGUCAAUAGAAAAGAGGUGACUAUUUGUUAAGUUUACAUUAGAUUACAAGUUUGAUAUAAGAUAUUGUUAUCUUAAAUAUUUGAAUGUAAAAUAUAUGAAAAAAUCCAAUCUACGGUAAGUAGCUUAGAUCUUUGUAUAACAUGCUAAAAUACAAUAGAGCUUAAAUAUGAAAGAUGCAUACAAGAAAAAAAAAAAAAAAAAAAAAAAAAUCUUAUUUUUAAAUGAUAUAGCAAUAUGUGCUAUGAAGUUUUUAGAUAUUAUCUACUUUAACAUAUAGAUAGAUAGAUAAAUAAAGUCUAAAAAUAUAGAAAAAAAUAUAUUUUUUAUUAUUUUUACUUAUAAUUUUUCAAGAAGGAUUUAAAUUUAUAUUUUUAUUACUAAAAUUAAUUAUUUUUAAAUGUUGAAGAAUUUAAAAGUAUUUCUUGAGAAAAAAAUGAGUCUAAGAUCAAGAUAUUAUAUAUAAAAAAUGGAAAUGAUUACAUAUCUAAGAAAUUUGAUAUUUAUUUUAAGAAUAAAUAAAUUACUAAAUAAAUAUUAAUUUUACAUAUUUUACAACAAAAUGAUAUUGUUGAAAGGACAAACUGUAUCAUUAUGAAGAAAGUAAGGAACAUACUUCAUGUUCAAAUCCUUAAAUAUGAGUUUUAGAAUAAAGCCAUUUUCAAUAUUGUUUAUACAAAGAAUAUUUGUCUAAUAAGUAUUCUUGCAUCAAUGACACUAUAACAAGCUUGGAAUGAGAGACAACUUAAAAUUUUACAUAUAAAGAGUUUUGAAUGCAUUGUAUAUUUAAAAGCACUAGAUUGUAUGAAAUUCAAACUUAAUACUAAAGAUACAAAGUGUGACUUUUUGGAUUAUUAUUAAUAUAUUAAGACAUAUAGAUUGAUAUUUUUGAAUAGCAAAAAGAUCAUUUAAAGUUGUGAUAUUGAAGUUUUGGAGCAUAAGAGUCUUUAAAAGCACCUAGAAAUAUGUCUAAAUGGAAGUAAUAAUGUGAUUGUAGAUAUAUAUAUUUCAAAAAAGUGAAAGAAGAAGAAUAAAAAGAAGAAGAUGAAGAUGAAGCAAUAAAAACAUAUCAAAAACCUAAUAUUUUUUGAGACAAGAAUUUAUUAAUCUAAAAGAUAAGCAAAGAAAAAUCACAAGAAAAAAAAUAUGGUGUAUAAAGAUUAAUCUUCAAUUGACAUGAGAUAUCUUAUAAAAAAAAGAUAGAUACUUGAUAAAUAGUGGAAGAAGGAUUUUUUUUUUUUAAGUCAAUAAAAAAUAUACAAAUAUUAUUUUUAUAGCUAAUCUUUUGUCUUUUUGUGAUGCUAUAAAGUUUUAAGAUAUAAUGAAGUGCAAAAAGGCUAUAAAAGAAGAAUAUCAAUUUUUUAUAAAUAACAGUAUAUAUGAAUAAGCUCUUCUUCUAACAAAUAAAUUUAGUAAUAGCAAUAAGUGGGUGUUUAAGAUCAAAAAAGAUGCAAUGGAAGUAGUAAUAAGGCACAAGAUAAGAUUAGUUUCUAAAAAAUAUUUACAAGUGGUUGGAAUUGAUUUCAAUGACACAUAUACAUAUUUUGCUAAAUUCACUACCAUUAUGAUUAUUUUUACAAUUGAAGUAGUAAUAGAUUUAAAAAUAUAUCAAAUAGAUAUAAAAAUAGUCUUUUUGAAUGUCAAAUUGGAAGAAGACAUCUACAUUUACUGGAUCUAAGGAUUUCUAUAAGAAGGCAAAGAAUACCUUGUAUACAAGUUAUAAAAAUUAUUAUAAGGAUUGAAACAAUUACCAAGAGGACAAUACCAACAUAUUAAUAUCUUUUUUAUUAAUGAAUUUUUUAUAAUGAGUGAUGUUCAUCAUUCCUUGUAUGUAAUAAAAUCUAAAAAUUUCUUGUUAGUUAAAAUCUUCUAUAAUAAUAAAUUGAUUAUUUUAGCCAACAUCAACAAGAUGGAUUGAAUGAAGGCCAUUUUAAAAAAUAAGUAUAAAAUGAGUAAUAUAAUAAAUAUAUUAUUAAUUUAUUUAGUUUUAUUUUUUGUUUUUUUAUUUUUUUAAUCAAAAAAUUUAUUUGAUUUUAUUAUAUUAACAAAGUUUUAUAAUUUAAUCAAAAAUAAAUUAAGAAUAAUUUAGAAGUAAAUUAAAUUCAAUCCAAAUUGUUAUAUUUUUAAUUUUCAUAAAUAUUAGAAAUUAUUUUAAAUUAAGAUAUGUAAGUAAUCAAUAUUUAUUAGAAAAUGUACUUUAAACAUUAUAGUGAAAUAGGUUUGUUCAAAAAAAAAUUUUGAAAACUCAUUUGGUGGCCAUUAGCCUUGAUUUCGGAUUUUGACUCUUAGAUCUUAAUUUGGUCUCUUUGGAUUCAAAAGUGGAGAUGUGGUCACUACCUUUAAGUCUUAGGGUAAGAAUAUAAGAGGUCUCAUGGGCUCAUUUGGUCAAAACUUCUUUUAUUUUGUUGAUAGGCAAAGCCAUGCUAUUAAUUACUAGGUUUUAUAAAUAAUUAUGGUUUUUUUAGAAUUUUUUAUAUAAAAUUUAAGUAAAGAUGAUAAUAUUUUUUGAAAUUCUUUGUACAUAAAAAUAUUAGAAUUUAGAAUUUAGACAAGAAAGAAUCUUCUAAUUUAAUAAAUAGUAGUAUACUACCUUCAUAUUUUGGUAGCUCAAGUUUAGAAGGAUCUCCUUUAUUGUUGACAAGCUAAAAAGAAAUAAGAGUUUCUUUCUUAGAGAUUGAAUGAAGUCUAUUUUUUAAAAAGCUAAGAAUUGAUUAUAUUGAACCAAGAUGUGGUUAAAGUGUUGAUUUAAGUGGCAAGGGAUCUGCUGCCUUGAAUUCAAUCUGCCUUGCUUUAAAUUCAAGUGGCCAAGAAAAGGCACAACUUUAAAAGACAAGAUCUAAUGGAUUAAGGCACCUUAAAAGCUAAGUUUUAGAAGAAUGUGCUAUUUAAAGUUAAAGUUUUAAUAAGCUUAGAUUUACUAAAGGAAAAUCAAGAAUUAAGCCAUGGUCUCUAAUUUAUAGAAGGACAUAUGAUGUCUUGAAAUUGUAUGCAUGCAAAUAAAUUUGAAUGUGAAAUUUAGAAGGUAAAGGUAUUUUUAAAUAUUUAAAAAAAAAAAAAAAAAAAAAAAAAAAAACUAUUUGGAUUUAAUUUAGAGCUCAUAAUUAAUUUUGGUACAAUAAUAUGUAAAGAUUGGUGUAGCAAUAGAUUUAAAAGUGUCAAGCCCCUUUGGUUUUUAUUUUGAUGAUAUUAUUGGUUCUUUAGCAUAAAACUAUAGAUGAAUCUCAAAUAGAAGGUUAAAAAGGAUAUUGAUAUUAAUUUGGAUCAAUAUUUAAAUUGAUAGAUGAAAUUUUUAUAAAUAUAAUAUUUUGAUAAAAUUAUCAAUUUUAAUCUGAUAUAUUAUGUGUAUGAAUAAUUGAAAUGACAUCCAUUGUAUAAAUUAGAUGAGUAGAUUAGAUGGAUAUACUAACCUUAAUUAAUUGAUAUAUUUAUAACUUAAAUUGAACUAUAAUGUUUUAUAAUUAUUUUAGUAUAUUUUAUUUAUAUUAAUUUAUGUGUAAGAAUUUUAACACAUUUAAUUAGGUACACUUAAUUUGUCUCAUAAGUACUAUUUAAAAUUAACUUAUAGUUGAUGAAAUUCGUAAAUAAAGAGUUUAUACAAGUUGAAGGUAAAAUGCAAAGUGUUCUAUACAAGGUGCCAAUAAAUUCAUUUAGGUGUGCAAUGGUAGCAUUAAGAGCAAAUCUUGCAUUUGUUGUGAGUGUUGUGAGUCAACACAUAUUUCAAGUUGGACCUUUGUAAAGGAUCUCAAAUUGUGCAUUAGUUGUAAGAAUUUGAUGUGCAAGAUUAUUGUAAAGCAAGUUGGAUUAGAAUUGAAAAUGAUGGAAGAUCUAAAACAAAGCAUGUAUUCUUAAUUAGAAUAAGAGCCUUUUUAUGAAACUUCAAGAAACAAUCAAUCAUUACAAGGUCAUCCAUAGGAAUUGAAUACAUGACAAUAAGCCAUUUUGCAAUAGAAAUAAUAUGGAUAAGAUAAUUUUUUAAAAACAUUAGAUUUGUACAUUUUGAGGCAACUCCAAUUAUGAGUAAUAAUCAAGGGUUUCUUGUAUUUGCAAAGAAUCCAUAGAACCAUUGAAUAACCAAACACAUUAAUAUUUAACAAAAUUCCAUAAGAAAUAAGAUUGAAGUUUGAAGAUGGGCAUGUAAACAGUAGCUUACAUUAUCCCUUAAAUUUAGUUCAAACAAAAGAACAUUUUAUAUUUAUUCUCAAUACAAAUCAGUCUGAUUUUGCCAUAAAAUCAAGAGGACCAAAUUUGAUGCAAUACUGCUUCUAUAGACAUGAUUUGUGCUCCACCGCUGCUUGAUUUGUUUGUGUGUUGGCUCUUGUUUCAGCUUCAGUUACUCGUGGUUCAUUCCGACAGUAGAUUAAAUUCCACCACUAGUAUUGCAAUACAAAUUCCCGUAGUUGAAGAAAAUUACACCAAACGAUGGUUAUUGACAUAUGCAUUAAGUGCCAAAUGUUACAUUCAUCUGAAAACAGUUUGAAAUGUCACUAAUAUUGAGAAUUUACUUUGGUCCAAUCCUUGCAGGUGGUACACAACACCUAGAAAGCCGCCAGUAUCAAAAAAAAAAAAAAAAAAAAAACAUGUUUUUAAUCAACCAUUGCAUUACCUUCCGAAUGACUUUAUCCCCAUGGUAGAUUCUCAACCAUUGACUCUGUUUAAAAUAUUUUUCGCAGAAGAGUCGCAUGCUUUUAGUUAAACAUAGGUACACUUGUUGAAAGAAUGCAACAAAUCGUAACUAGUUGUACAAAAAACCACUGUCCAUUCUCCAAUCAAUUACCCAAAAAACAAAACCACUUUUAUUAAAUACUCUUUUCAGGUGGAAACACUACUUCCAUGAUUCGACGAAGAUUUCAGAUGGAACGGAAGAUCGAAGUUCCACGCACAAUUGCAUAACGGUGACAAAUCGUCGUUGCUCCAGCUUCAACGACAGCCUCACAGCACAGGAUGGGUAUUAUACCGCUGGGAGCCACCCAAACACAAGGCUGACAGAGCUUCCACAUGUUGGCAAUAGACAUUAUCAUGUUCACCUGCAGGUGGACCAGGUUCGUAAUAUUCAUGCUGCCUGAAAUCAUGCUCCCAGAUGAUCAAAACCUCUUUCCCAGCAGGGAUGAGCCGCUGACAACUAGAUUUCUGCUUAUCAACAGAGAACCCAUUCUGUCGCCUCAUCAAGCUGCCCGCUGUGAGAUUGCUGCCGCAUCUAGGGACUAUUCGCUAUCCAACGCCAUCCGUCAAGGAAUGUGAUCACUGUCGCAUCGCCUUGUAGUGCAUGCUGUUGCAUCUCGGAUGAGAGCGGCGACCACGUUGUUCAAAGAUUCUGCGAAAACCAGUGGGAUUCUGUUCCUUCACCCUCAGCUUCCGGAGCCCCACAACUUUCAAAUAUCUUCCGCUUCUUUCUUCAGAUUUGUGGGUUACUUUGCGAAAUCGCUUGCGGUGUGGGGAGUGUGUGCAUCGUUGCUUAUGCUCAGCAAAAAGGUGCUUCACUGUAGAAAUAGUGUAUGAUUGAAUGUCGUCUUUUGGAAUAUUUUUACGAUAGUCUUAUGACAAAAGUGUGAGAAAUUAUUGAACGACUGUAGCGUUUCUGACAACAAAAUUUCAAUUUCUUCAUUUUAACAUUUAGUUGUAAAUCAGUUUAAGGUCUAAGUUAUUCAUUGGUUUACAAAAUCACCAAAGUAUCUCUCAAGAAACUUCUAAAUAUUAAAUUACAUUGUGAUUACUUUUUUAAAAAAAUUACAUAAUUCAGGUACCUAAUGAAACUCAUAAGUGAAAUGACUGUUUUAAUAAAUAAAAUUAUAUAAAGUCAUGUAUAAUAAGAAUAAAGAGAAUAUAAGAAAAACUUAUACAAUCACAUGAUGUAAUGAAUGAAAUUACCAUAAAGAUUAUGAUGUACAAGUUCGUAUUUUGAUUUAAUUCUGUAAAAUAUCAAUCUCCAAAAUGUACAUAAAACUUUAACAUCUUAUUUCAAAAAAUGUAUUUUUAUAGUCUUUAGAUAAUUUUUACUCUUUUCACAAGAUAACAACUUCUAAUGUUAUUGAUUUAAUGCCAAAUAAUAUAAAAAUAAUGCCAAAGCCACUUGAUGCAUUGAAUUUGUUCUGUAUUGGAUCAUUAUAAUAUAAAUAAAAUAUAAAUAAGUACAGAUAUGAAAUAAGUGAAAAGAUUAAUAUCAAAUUCUAAAUGCUAAUUUUAAAAGCAAUGUCAAUGUCUUAAUAGAAUAUUGUAAGAUUAAAAUAUAUUACUUGAGAUAAAUUUAAAGCUUAAUACUAUAAAUUAGUAACAAGAACCUUGUCUAAUGUCUUGAAGGAUGUUGUGGUAAAUUUUUAAACAGUCUACAAUAAUACUAUUUAGAAACUACAUAAUAAAAAAAUUAAACUACAUUAAAUUAAAAGAGUAAUGAGUUUUGAAAAUUGGUUUAAAAUUAUUAAUGAGGUAAUUUAUUAAAUCCAAUAUAACUUAAAAAAUCAUCCCACAAGUGAGAUUAUUUUAAUAAUUUAAAUAUAAACAUAUAAAAUAAAUAAUAUUGAUAAAAAAAUAACUGCAUAUAGAGAUGGUAUUAUAAGAAUAUAUACUUUAUUCUUGGUCAUAGAAAGGUUUUUGUCUUUGUUGUACUUAUUCAAAUUAAGGUAUUUAUAAAAAUAAAAAUAAAAAUAAAAUCCAACCAACUUAUGUGAUGUUGACAGAUAUAUUUUGCAAUGUUUUUAUCAUUCAGAUUAAUAUAUAUAUAUAUAUAUAUAUAUAUACAUACUAAUAAUCUUCUUUAUUAAUUUAUUUUGUGAUUAUAUUAAAUUUUAACAUUCUAUAUUGUGUAUUUAGAUACUUUAAAAACAAUCAAGAACAAAACAUUAUUCAGAUUAUCUUCUUAAUAUGAAUUUAAUAAAAUAUCUUAAAAUAUACUUAUCCAACCGAUAAACAUAUAUAUUAAGAUAUUAAAUAAUUUGGAAUUUGAAAAAAAAAUCAAAUCAUUAAAAUAUUUAUUGAAGGCCUUUAAAAAAUUGACGAUUUUGAAUUGUAAGUAUAUCUAUCAUAUAUAUAUAUAUAUAUAUAUAUAUAUAUAGCAAAGAAUUUCUUAGAAUUACCAUGCUUUUAUUCAUGCUACAAUUAUUAGCAAAAUUAAAUAAUUAUUUAUUUAUUAAACGUUAUUUAUAAUAAAAUUAUUAUUAAUUUUUUUCAUAUCUGUGGAAAUUUUAUUUUAACGACUGAAAAAUAUUAUUAAAUAUUAUUAUAUUUAUUGAAAAAAAUAAUAUUUAUACAAGAGAAAAAUGCACCAUGGAUAAAUAGAGCAUUUAGCUAGAAUUUCUAGGGCAUGAGAGAUAAGCUUAACUAGCAAUAAAAUAUUCUGAUUAUCUGCCAAAAUAAAUUGUAUAUGCACUCAACUUUUAAUAAAAUUUAAAAUAUAACAUAAUGCAUGCUUGACCAUAAGUUUGUUUUUCUACACCAAUAAAUAUAAUUUUUAUAUAUUUUCUAAUAACAACUAAUUCUACUCCUGAAAAACUUAAUUACUUUAUUAUAAAUAUUUUAUUAAAUUGUAAAAUAAAUCCACUGUAUUUAAUAGAAAAUCUAAACAGAAUCCUCUAUAAUUUUAAAUUUCAAUUAAUUUUAUUUAAUAUUUUAUGCAAUUCCAACAUAACUUUGUAAAUAUUUCCAUAAUUAUCUAAGAUUAAAAUUAUGAAAGUCAAUACAUUGAAGAAAUUUAUUUUGGAUGCUAAAUAUGAUUAUUAGAAAUUAUAAUGGUGGUUUAUGUAAUAGAUAAUCUCAAUAGAAAGCACUUCAAGCGAUUUGCAAAGAUACAAAGAUUUCUUUAAAUAUUGAACUUAUUAAAGAAAGUAUCUUAAUUUGCAUAAAAAAUCCAAGAAAUAAAAAAUAAGAUAAAGAAGAGUAGAAGGUCUAUAUUAACAAUGUCUAUAUGAACCAAUUACAAGUUCAUUUAAUGCAAAGUUGGAAGAGUUUAAAGACACAUUUAAAUAAGAAAAAACAAAAAUGCAUUGUAAAAGAAAAAAAAUGAUCUCUUUGUAUUACAGACUUCAUCAAUAAAUAAAAAUUGGUGCAAUAGUAAACUCUAUUAUAUUGCCAAUAAGACCAUCAAUUAUUAAGAUAUUCUAAAGCCAAUUACAUUCUUGUUUUUAAGGUCUUCAACUAUACCAUUUGGCCUUUUCAAGAACAUAUGAAAGUAUUUAUAUAAUCAUAGAAAUAAUAUAAUAUAAUCUACCAAUAAAUUAUGAUUCUUUUGAAGUUUCUAUUAUAUUUUUCCUUUUUAUCUAAUAUCAUUUUUUAUUCUACAAUAUAUAAAAGCAUAUUUUUAUUUGAAUGAAAGAAAUAUUUAUUAUAAUAGUUAGAUAAAUACUUGAAUAAAUAAUAUGUAUGUAUAUAUAUAUAUAUAUAUAUAUAUAUUUGAAAAUAAUAAUUUAACAAAUGUUAGUAAUAUUUGGCAGCAAACAUAACUUAUAAAAUUAUAUAAAGUUUGUUUUUUAUAAAAUAUCUCACAAAAAUUCAUGAAUUUUUUAGUGUUUUAUUAAGAUAUUUUACAUAAAAUGUAUAAUAUUUUUCUAAUUUUAAAUUUUAAAUUUUUUACAACUAAUUGAAUACCCUUAAUAUAAUAAAUAAUAAUAAAAUAAAACAAAAAGAUUUAUUUUAAUGAAUAUUUUUCAAAAAAACAAUCAUUAUAAUUAUAACCUAAAUUUUUAAAUAAUUGUAAAUUACAAAAGUAAAUUAAGAAGAGGUAUAAUUUUGUUAUAAUAAAGAAAAAAAGCUAAUUAUUUUUAAACACAGAGGGAUUAAAAAGUCUUAAACUAAGAUUUGAUUAAACACAAUGUUUUGUUACUAUUAUGGAUGGUUUUAGCCUUAUUUGUUUCAUACUAGCUGAUAGGGACAGUAUGUGGAAAUAUUAUAAGACCCACAAGAUUUGUGUGGCAAAAUAACUAAAUUAUGGUAUGCUUAUGUAGUAGCUUUUUAGAUCUAAAUAACUUCUUGAAUUUUGUUUUGUAGCAAUAAGACAAAUUCAUCAAUGGUUGUAGAUCCAACUUACAUCUAAAGUUUUAAGAAAUGUUGUGCAAAAGACAAUUAUCAAUCAAAACAUAUUUCUACCAACUUAAAAUUAUUUUAAUAAAUUUAUAUUUAUAUAAAUACUUUUAAAAUAAAUAAAUAAUAAGCUAUUAAAAAAAUAAAAUACCAUAUCAAAACAUAGUCUUUUGAAGCUAAUUUAAUCAUAUAUCAUAAAAGAAGAAGAAGGUAUAUAAAAUGUAAUUAGUUCAAAUUAUAAUAGAAUUUUAUUAGAACAAAUAAGAUUCUAUACGUAACAUUUUUUUCUAAGUUAUUUUUUUAUUUAAAAAUACCUCUAAUUCAUUAAAAAUAUUUAAAAUAUAUAUGUAUAUAACUAUAAAUAGAAAAAACGAAAUUUCAUAGUAUUAGUAAAUAUAUUAAUUGAGUUAUUCUUUUGAGUUUGAAAUAAAAUCCAUUGUUCAUCUGUAUAGUUUCAAAUGGAUUCAAUUUUAUUUAUUUAUUUAUUUAUUUAUUUAUUGAAUCUUGUUUGUAAGAACAAAACUUCUACAAAUUUAUUUAUAAUAUUUUUAAAAGGAUUUUUUAAUUAUAAAUAAAAAAUUAGAUUUAAAGACAAUCAUUUAAAGCUUUUAUAUUGAUUUAGGAAAAAAAAUGAAGUAAUAUAAAAAUUAAAAUAUAAAAUAUAAAAUAAUAAUCAAAAUUUAAAGAAAAUUUAUUAAUUUGGAUUCAAUAAAAGCUAACUCUAUGAUUUCAUCUAUUGUAAUGUGAUUUAUUGGUUGAUGAAUAUUAAUGCUUAUCCUACUUAAUGAUUUUUCUACAAAAAAAUGAUAAUUUUCCUAAAACUUAUAUCAGAAAAUGUUCUCAUAUUAUUUUAUUAAACCAUGAGAAGUAUAACACAUGAUAUAUAAAAUACACCACAUAGUAAGUUUCAUAAAUUUCGGAUGCAACUAUUGGUUGUGAUGUGACUCAAUUCUUGAAAGCAAACUUUAGAACUCAUCUUAAACUCAAAUUAAUGGUGUGCCGAGGACUUGAACGCCAUGUGCCAAGCAUACCAAGUCCGAGGAAGGCACACAACACUUCAAUAUAGAAUAUCCCACAUCGACGGCGUCCAUUCAAUCUAGUGCACCCAGAAACCGGGGGGCCAGGACAUGAAGGGGCCGGGCAGUGGGAAUGAGGAAGACUGCGCGUCCAGAAACCGACCCAGCCCGCGCGGCGGGCGAGGGUGAGCAGGGAAUAGGCGGGGCCCACGGCGUCAGGGAGAGUAGCGGCGCUGUCCUCCAAACACACCGCCUUCAAAUCUGGAGAUGAAGCAGAUCACACACCCAGCAGAUUACCCGAGCUCAAGUCGUGAGGCACAAAUAACUCCGGGCCCCCAAAAAGGGAUUGCUCCUAAGAAUCAAAUCGAAUGGAAUAAUAACCAGUGUUGUCAAUUCCUCCAUUCGGGAUUGGAUUCAUAAACCCCACUUCUCAACAUUCGCUGCCAGGCCUUCUCCUUCACCGCUCCGCUCUGCGAGCUUGGUUCUCGUUGCGCGUGGUCAUCUAGCGCAAGAACUCCCAGUGCCACAUCGGCUGUUGAGUUAGAGUGUCCCAACUCCGAUUCCCUAAGGUUAUAAGAUUUAGCAUAGGAACGAAUUUGUGAAAGUGUUGUACUUAGAGAGUGUGAAUUCGGUGGUCGACGGUUUGUAGCCGAGGGAAGAGGUGAGGUCGACAUGGAGCGGGCGAAGCAGCAGGUGGUGAAGCGGCUGGUGCAGCAGGCGGUGCGGCGGGCAGCUGCGCCGUCUGCGCCUGUGCGUUCUGGCGCUGCGUUGCGAGCUGCCGCUGGCAACGAGACGCGUCGGGGAUUCGGCGCUUCGCUGCUGCGUGGUAGCGGGAAUGGAGUGGUGCAGCUUCCGCUCGGGGUGAGGGCCAUUUCCGUGGAGGCUUUGAAGCCCAGCGACACGUUCCAGAGGCGUCACAACAGCGCUACCCUGGAAGAGCAGAAGGCAAUGGCUGGGAUGUGCGGAUUCGAGGACAUGGACGCCAUGAUCGACGCCACCGUGCCGAAGUCCAUCCGCAGGCCCGACCUGAAGCUGAGCAAGUACGCGGAGGGGUUGACGGAGAGCGAGCUGUUGGCGCAUUUCAAGUCGCUGGCGUCCAAGAACAAGGUGAUGAGGUCCUUCAUCGGAAUGGGGUACCACGACACGCACGUCCCCACCGUGAUUCUUCGCAACAUCUUGGAGAACCCCGGAUGGUAUACCCAGUACACGCCCUACCAGGCAGAGAUCGCGCAGGGGAGGCUGGAGUCGCUUCUGAACUUCCAAACCAUGAUCACGGAUCUCACAGGUAUGCCCAUGUCCAACGCGUCGUUGCUGGACGAGGGUACCGCUGCGGCGGAGGCCAUGACAAUGUGUAGCAACAUUGCCCGCGGCAGGAAGAAGACGUUCUUGGUGGCGGACAACUGCCAUCCCCAGACAAUUGAGGUGUGCAAGACCCGAGCAGACGGGCUGGGCUUGAAUGUUGUGGUGGCGGAUUACAAGAAGUUCGACUACAGCAGCAAGGACGUGAGCGGAGUGCUGGUGCAGUACCCGGCCACGGACGGGUCGGUGAACGACUACUCAGACUUCGUCAAGAACGCCCAUGCUCAUGGAGUGAAGGUGGUGAUGGCGACCGAUUUGUUGUCUCUUACGGUGCUGACCCCUCCCGGUGAGCUGGGAGCGGACAUGGUGGUCGGAUCCGCUCAGAGGUUUGGAGUUCCAAUGGGCUACGGAGGGCCGCACGCCGCGUUUCUGGCAACCUCCCAGGAGUACAAGCGUCUCAUGCCCGGGCGUAUCAUCGGUAUGAGCAUUGACGCCACUGGCAAGCCAUGCCUCCGGAUGGCCAUGCAGACUCGGGAGCAGCACAUUCGUCGUGACAAGGCGACCAGCAACAUCUGUACCGCUCAGGUAGGUUUUUGGGAGAGGAGAGGAGAGGAGGAGAGGUUUCUUGAUAGCUGAAAUGCACGAGGAAUCUGUUGCGCGCAACACGAAUUGGCUUGAUAUGUCGAUUAUAAGGGGAAUUCACCGCGUUCCUUGCUGCGUGCUCCACCAAUUCAUGUUCCGGCAACUGGUUUUGGUUGUCGCUGAUUGAUAAAUCUCGCCAUGGAGGGAUGUCUGACGAAAUUGGAACUGUUGACAGGCUUUGUUGGCGAACAUGGCAGCCAUGUACGCCGUAUAUCAUGGCCCUGAGGGUUUGAAGACGAUUGCGAACCGAGUUCAUGGAUUGGCCGCAGUAUUCAGCGCUGGAGUGAGCAAGUUGGGAUUCCAAACCGGAUCCGCACCAUUCUUUGACACAGUGAAGGUGACAGUUGGUGAAGGGCAGGUGGAGAAGGUUAUGAAGGACGCAGUUGCACACGGUGUGAACUUGAGACAGUUGGACUCGAGCUCGGUGAGUUGAUCGAAAGCCGUAUCUGGUCGCAAUUUUCUGCAACCGGUUGUUUCGGGGUAACCACACGGAGGUGAUAUGUAUGCUGGUUGUUCUGACGUUUAGCUGCCGGUUACGGAUGCACAGGUCACGCUAUCUUUUGACGAGACCACGACAAUUGGGGACGUGAACACUUUGUUCAAAAUUUUCGGUGGAGGCAAGAACGUGAGUGCACAUCAUUGUGGAAUGUCCCCUACACCUUGCUUGAAGGGAGUGAUUGGUUGAUACGGCGAUGUGUGCCUGUUGGGUUCCCUUCUUUUUGUUCUCAUUACUGGAGUCUGGUUGCACCACAUGUCUGAGUUUAGAUGUUUCAUUGGGUCCAGGUUGGGUUUACUGCCGAGCAACUGGCAGGGGAGGUGGAGAGCCGCCUUCCGUCCAGCCUGAAGAGGGACACCCCAUUCCUGACUCACCCGGUGUUCAACCAGUAUCACUCGGAGCACGAGCUGCUCCGAUAUCUUCACAGGUUGCAGGCGAAGGAUCUGUCGUUGGUCCACAGCAUGAUUCCGUUGGGCUCGUGCACGAUGAAGUUGAACGCUACCACCGAAAUGAUACCAAUUACAUGGCCCGAAAUGGCCAACCUGCAUCCGUUUGCCCCGGAGGAUCAGGCCCAAGGAUACCAGGUACGUUGUCUGGCGUGAGGGAGUGGUGGUUAUUUCUGUGUCGAUGCAGUGGAUCAUCCACGGGCGACCGCUUGUUGAAUACCGCUGCUGGAUCGAUGAUCGUCUUUCAGGGGCCGGACACAGGAGGGGACUGACUUGAAUCCGUUGUGCAGGAAAUGUUCAAGGAACUGGGUGACCUGCUGUGUGAGAUCACGGGGUUUGAUUCUAUGUCCCUGCAGCCCAACGCCGGUGCUGCUGGCGAGUACGCAGGGCUGAUGGUCAUCCGUGCCUACCACCUUGUAAGAUCGUCGGCGUGACCUGCUGUUCGGUGUUGGGAGUGUUGCAAUUAAGUUUGGAUACGCUCACUGUGGGGUCGGGGAUGGGAUGGUAUUGUGGGACUCAGGAAGUGGCAAUUUCUUAGAGGCAAAGUCUGACUUGCGCAGCUGUGAUUGCCCUCAGGCUCGAGGAGACGCGCAUCGUGACGUGUGCAUCAUUCCAGUUUCGGCUCAUGGAACGAACCCUGCAAGUGCAGCCAUGUGCGGGAUGAGAAUUGUGACUGUGGGAACUGACAAACACGGGAACGUGGAUAUUGCCGAAUUGAGGAAGGCAGCAGAGAAGCACAAGGACAAUCUGUCCGCUCUGAUGGUGAGUAUCAACCGAUGUUGGUGGGAAGAGACGGAGCUUGACUCGGGAUUUCGGUUGGAUAGGGGAAUGGAAUGUGUAGAUAAGACGAGCAGCAUCAGGGCUGCUGGAAAGGUUGUAGUCUGUGUGUUUGCAUUGGGUCGAAGUGACUGGGUGUCACGAACAGUGAGUGUGGCUUGGACAAUGCUCGGAGCCCGUGGUGGAGAGAAAUCGGCAUUGCUGGCCCGGUGGGGAGGUAGAUUAGCCUGCUGUUGAGAGCUGUGUCGAGGUUGAAGUGACGGAACUGAAGGGCACACGGUUUCUUGGAUCUGUCGUCUUUGUCAAUAGUGCAGAUGACCCACAAGGUUGAUGGCUUGACCCUUGAACAGGUGACUUAUCCUUCGACGCACGGUGUGUACGAGGAGGGCAUUGAUGAGAUCUGCAACAUCAUCCAUCAAUACGGUGGACAAGUGUACAUGGACGGUGCCAACAUGAACGCUCAGGUGGGGCUUACCAGUCCUGGUCACAUCGGAGCAGACGUGUGCCAUCUGAACUUGCACAAGACGUUCUGCAUUCCUCAUGGAGGAGGUGGCCCCGGAAUGGGACCCAUCGGAGUGAAGAAGCAUUUGGCUCCCUUCCUCCCAUCACACCCUGUGGUAAGGAAAUCCUGGCUUGCUGCAAAAACCCGAGUUCUUUGUGUGCGAGGGAUUUGUAAUUUUUGGUGUCGAGUCUGGAGAGUCGAUUGGGAUGGAAUGACUGGAUUGUGUGACGGCAGCGCGGUUUUCAGAACGACCUCUGACGAUUAAGUAUCGAAAUGCAGGUUGGCACCGGAGGAUUCCCAAGGCCGGCCAACACUCAACCAUUGGGGCCCAUUUCUGCUGCACCUUACGGAUCAGCACUGAUCUUGCCAAUUUCUUACAGCUACAUCGCGAUGAUGGGGAACAAGGGUUUGACGGAUGCCUCCAAGCUCGCGAUCUUGAACGCGAACUACAUGGCCAAGCGUUUGGAGGUUGGUGGAUAGGAUGAUUCAACACUCAGCGACGGGUCUUUGUUUUUGUUUUUGUUUUUUUUUGUUUUUAUUGGUUUUUGUGAAUAUUGGGCACAACAUGGAUUCAGCAGUCGUUGUCACUGUGUUACCGUGGUGUAUCUGACCGACAUGAUGUGGCUUGCGUGCAGAACCAUUAUCCAGUUCUGUUCCGGGGCGUGAACGGAACGUGUGCUCACGAGUUCAUCAUCGACUUGAGGAAGUUCAAGGUACUGAAUGCCGAGAAGCCCUGAGUAGUGAAGUGAAAUUUUGCCUGGAUAUGAAACAUGAGGAAUGGGAGGUUUAGGGUUCAUAGUUACUGAGCUGCUGAUUAUGUUGCGUGUGUAUCACAGGAAACUGCUGGAAUCGAGGCAGAGGAUGUGGCGAAGCGCCUGAUGGACUACGGUUACCAUGCGCCAACCAUGUCGUGGCCUGUGUCCGGCACGCUCAUGAUUGAGCCGACGGAGAGCGAGAGCAAGGCCGAGCUGGAUCGGUUCUGCGACGCCUUGAUCUCCAUUAGAGAGGAAAUCGCAGCAAUUGAGAACGGAGAGGCCAGCCGCGAGGACAACGUCCUGAAGGGUGCCCCUCAUCCAGCAUCGGUUGUGAUGGCCGACGACUGGACCAAGUCCUACUCGAGGGAGGUUGCAGCAUUCCCCGCAUCGUGGGUGCGAGCAUCGAAGUUCUGGCCCACGACAUCGCGUGUGGACAACGUGUAUGGAGACCGCAACCUCAUGUGCACGAACCCGUCCGCGGAAGUUAUUGACGAGAAGAUUGCAGCAGCCGCUUGAAUGGUAGAAUGCAGAUAUGAGUGUACCCCCGCAUUUGGAGGGUCCUAAAUAGUGUACUUAAUCGUGAAAGCUGCCCACAACAUAUCGUACCUCGGCAAAGCGGUUGCUGAGUGUUGUCAUGGUCAGUAGAACUCUGUCGUCCUCGUGUUGUCGACACGGCGUAAGGAUUGUAUAGCUGCUGUAGAUCCAUGUUAGGCGCGCCGCGUCUCUCACCGUCGUGGGGUAGAUCAGUCGAUAUUGCAAGCAUGAAAGCCCAUGUAUCUGAUGAUUCUUUGAACACAAAGUGUUAACUGGAUUUCAAUUGUACAACGAUCUCUAGCACUCGAUUAUGUGUCGCGACCUUGUUGCAUUUGAAUGUCGUCACUGUCAUUAUGGCUGUGUUGUCUGAGUAGCACCUGAGCCUGGGUGGUCAUACUGAAAAAUCCCAGAAUUAUGUGAGCUCGUAUUAUGUUUUAGGUUAAUGCUGGUAUUGGUAUUGGUCCAUAUUUAACAUAAGCCCUUGACUAAUUGGGUAUUAGUUUAUAUCACAUUAGGAAUGUUGCUGUUAUGCAUGGAUAUAUCCUUGCUGAUUUUAAUUGUUAAACAAUUUAAAUUUGGGAUUUUUAAUUUGACACAUUUAAAAUUUUAAACAUAAUUUGAGUUAAUUGUUUGCAAGAAAACACUAGAUGCAUUAGUAUCCAAACUUGUGUUUCUUUAGCCUAAUGUCUUUGGCAAAGCUAUUGCCAUUGUGGUUGUUUUGAUUUUUUUUUUUUUUUUUUUUUUUUUUCAUAUACUUAACACCAUGUCUUGUUUAAUCAAUGUCCAUUUAAUGUCUACUAUAUCUACCUCCAUUGCACUAGAGAAAGGCCAAUCUAUUAAGCAAUGACUUUUUCAACAUUUUCUUUUGGCUUGAAGUUAAGAACUUUUAUAGCAUAUUUGGCAUCAACAUCAACAAAGAUUAGUGUUGCUCCAUUGAUUAAAAGAACAAGUUCUUGUACAUUUAUAAUAGUGCUUAGCUCUGUGAGUUGAAUACGCCUCUAUCUUAAUCAAAAGGCCAUGAGAGGGCAACUUCAAAGUUACAAGGCAAAGCUUCUAAAAACACUAGAAGAAUCUAUGCAAAUAGGAUAUGGUGUCACCAAAGGCGACAAAAAGAAGGUAGUAGUCACUAUCAAGUAAAAGCUCAAUAAAAGUUGUCUCCAUUUUGAGAAGAUGAAGAAGCUCUUAAGAAAAAAGCCAACUACCAAGCCUCAUUAUACAAUCAACUUUGUAGUCAAUUUGUUAUUAGAGGAGUACAAUAAUAUUGGAGCAAAUGAUAAAGAAGAAACUAACAAUAACAAAUUAGACAUUGAGGGGUUUGAAGUCAUGGCUAAAACCACAAAGUUGUAAAAAUAAAAUAUUUAGAAAAAGCACUAAAAUCAAAACAUUCACAUUCUACAACCCAGCUUUAUCCUCACAUAGUCUUAAUUUCCAAAACCUAAACCAUAAAGACAAUGAUAAUUAUUAAAAAAAUAUAUGUAAAAAACCAUGUAUUCUUUAAAGCUAAAUUAUUUUUUGGAAACACCUUCCUACAGAUUCUUUAGCUUUAUAAUUCCAUUCUCCAAGCAAUUCAAUCCUUGCUCCAAUUCAAUCACCAUCUACUUAUUAAUCAUUGUCAUUACACCCACUUCUCUUCUACAUCUAAAUUCUCUCUUCCACCAACACAAAAAUCAUUUUUUAAAAAAAAUUAAUCACUAAAACUUUCUCUUUUUUUUCUACAAAUACUCAAGAUGCGGCAAGACAAAAGUAACAAGUCUCAAUUGGCUUCAUGAAUUAAUUAUGCACAAAAGAGAAAUAAAGUAUCAUUUCAUAAAGAGGUUUCUUUUCUACCACAACAUUGCCCUUGCAAAUGUAUUUCAAGAGGGAGUAAAGCAAAGAUGGACAUUUUGGACUUGAUUUCAUCCAAUAUCAACUUUUGUGGCAACCCAAUUAUCAAGAUUAAAAUGCAAGAAAAAAUUAUAUUGUUUAAAUUUUAUAAAGUAAAUGUUGAAGAACUUGAUGUAGAAACAAAUUUGAUAUUUUUUAUUACUUCUUCUAAUAAAUUCUAUUUGUACAAAUAAUUGAUUCAAUUUAUCAGGAAAGAAAAAAAUUUUAAAAAUUAAUAGAUAUCAUGAUAUACACUUUUUUGAUAUCAAUAUUGAUUUUGAAGGAUAUAAAAACUUAUGUUAAAUAUCUAUGUUAUUCCUUGAAAGUGAUCAUAUCUGUAAUAUCAUAAUAAUAUUGUGUUCUUCUUCAUUUGUCAUUUUUUAAUCAAAUCUUUGUAAUCUUUUUAACAAAAUCAUAAGAAUAUACCUUUGCUAGAAUUGAGUUCUUCUUAUUAGCUAUAUAUUAAAAGAUAUCUUUAAAUAUCAUCAAAAUCUUCUAGAUGUUUUCGGGAUAGAAAGAGUUUGUCUCAAGAAAGCACUGGGCUCCUAACUACCACUAAUUGCUCAAUCAAGUCUUGAGAUAAGGAAGACUAAGUUUGUAUAUAUACAUAUAUAUAUAUAAUACUUUUAGGAGAAAUUACACCGAAUAUAUAGUCUUAAGUUCCCAAAAUAUCCAAAAUAUGAUAAAAACAAAAAAAACUCUAAAUCCUUGUAUAUCCUUAUGGGGUAUUAUUUCUGAACUUCAAAAACUCAUAUCUUUCAAUCAGACCAUUCAAAUACACUCAAGUUUUACAAGAAGUAGUGAUGUACUUCUAAAAACUACUACAACAAAUUUCAACUACAAAUUUGAUGCGGAUCUUAAGAUAUCACCAAAACCCUAAUAGUAGCUUCAAACCCUAGUUUUUAUACACUCUCGUGUAAUUUUCUUCAUAUCUCACAAAUUAAGCACUCAAAUGCCACAAAAUUUGUAUGUAUAGCUUCUUGACACAAAAAUCUACUUUCUCCAAAAGGUUUGAGUCCAAAAUUCAUCUAGAAACUCAAGAUAUGGCUCCAACCAUUACUAUGAAUAAAAUCACUUACUUACUGCCUUUGAUUUGGAUGUGCUGACUUCAACCCUCUAUAACUUCUUCAUUCAAACUCCAAAUUCAUCAAAUAGUAUAUGAAAAGUGUAGUCAAAAAAGUCUUCUCUCCAAUCCUGGUCGCCAAUCUUUCAUUGCUCUCCGUAAACGUAUUUUAUGCCCCAAAGAGUGACAAUUGGUAUGAAAUUGACACCUCAACUUUGACCGUCAAUAACUCCUUCAUGAAAACUCCAAAUCACACAAAAUUUGCACCCAAUUUGUAUGUGAAAUCCUAAAAUUGAUGUUUCUAGCCUUUAAAGCUCAAAUGACUUCAAAAGAGAAACCCUAAUCCCUAAUAAGGCCUCAUCAGCCCCCUUGAAGCCCAUCGGGCAUGGCCUUCGACCAAUAGGAAUGAAGAUCUCCAUUCCUUGCCUUCAUUCAACCAUGCCUUGCUUUCAUUCCUUCCAAUAAGCCUCCUACUAGUUAAGAUUUUCAUCUUUAGGCUCUAAUCUCCUCUCAAGGUUUCACACUAAAUACUUAGGUCUUAUAAUUUUUUUAAAUGCUAUAAUCAAAAUAGAUAAAACUUAAAAUAAAGUUUUUUAUAUCCACUUUAUUUAAAUUAACCUAUUAACCAUUCUAACAUAUACCAAGACUUAUGAACAUAUUAUAUGACUUAAUUAAUUUUUACAUACUAUAAGUAAUUAUAGUACGAAAACAUUGCAUAUACACACUAAUUAAGUCUUAGAGUAAUAAAUCAAAGCUACUAUAGCAUCAAUCUAAUAGUCAUCUAUAAGAAAUUUUCUAAAUUUCUUGAUAGCUUUUAAAAGAAGAAAGAAGAAGAAAAAUAAAAAAAUAAAAAAAUAAAAAAAAAUAAAAAAUGAAGAAAGAAAGAAAGAACAAAAUCUAUUUUGCUAUGCUUACUCUAUGUAUAAUUUAAAUAGAUAGUAACAAGGCAUAUUUGAGCUUUGAGGCCAGAAUUAAAGACUAUGUAUUCCAAUUUAACACAACCUUUAUAGUAUGAUUGUGCUUUAUGAAUGCUAGCAUCGUCCUUGCAAUUGCCCUUAAUUCUAAUAAAUAUCUAACGUGUCUAUAGAAUACUAAUUGCUUUGAGCACAUUGAAAUAAUAUCCAACGAUUUAGAAAAAAAAGUUGAUGCAAAAUAAGAGACAUCAUUAGAUAGAAAAAGUGAACCUUGAUUACAAAUUAUAUAUUAAGAAAAAUUGUUGAAAAUAAGUGUGUUUCAAUCCUUAAAAGUUUCUUAAUAAAUAUGCACAAAUACUAUAAAAGAUUAUAUAAGAGUUUUUUAAGACAUGAAAGGAACUACACCAUCUUUGGGAUGUGAAAAUAAAGUAAAGAAGAUUUUAAGAUGAAGUAUAAUGGAUUGAAGUUCAACACUUAUAAGCUAGAUAUCCUAUCAAUCUCUUUCCAUUGAUACACUACAUUUAUUUUUUCUUCCCUCCUACCUUCUUUCUACGUAUUCUUUCUCUUUUUGAUGAACUCCAAUCUACAUUGCAUGAAAAUAGAGAACUCACUUUAUACCAUCUUUAAAAUAAGUACAAGCAUUUUCAACUUUUUCUUUUCACAAUGCCACUAUAUUGCUGAGCCACCUUACUCCUUUUUUGUCACUUCUAUGAUGAUCAUUAUAAGCUUAUGAAUAUUAGUUCCAAUGCCAUUACAUCUUCUUGUAUUAUUAAGACUUAUCUACAACAUCUUCAUACAUCUACAUCAUUUUUUCAAUAUACUUAAGAUUAGAAUAAAUUAUGAUUUCUAUAAUAAAGUGGCUAGGAUAAAUUAAAAUAUACUUAUAAUAUUUUUUUAAAUAAGACAAACAUUCUUGAGUGUUAAUUUUAUAACAUGAUAUUAAAGCAAAAUUAAGGUAGUUUUUAAGAUUGAUGAGCCUUAUUUCUAAUUUAAAAAAUAAAAUAAAAAAGUAUCAGAAGAGAUCAUAGAAAGUAGAGAGAAAUUUACAACCUAUAAAAUAGAAGAGUUGAGCAAUCUAGUUGAAGCUCAAAACUAUGUUGUUUGGAAGUUGAAGAUGACUACUAUCUUAAAGAGAAAGAAUCUAUAGAAUAUUAUAGAAACCAAAACAAUAGUAUCAUUUUUUUUCAUUACCAUAUUAGAAAAAUCUUAUACAGAAACUUAGCUUGAAAAAGCAAAGCAAAGAGUCCUAUCAGGUCUUACUAUGUCAUUUGCAAAUAGUUUUAGAUACGAUUUUUCAACACAACAACCAUGUAGAUUCAUAGAAUAUAAUUAUAAGAAUAUUUUAUAUAUGAGAUCAAUAAAAAAUUAUGUUAUUGAAUAAAAAACUUAACAAAAUGACAAUAAAAGAAAAAAAUGACAUUAAUACUUAUCUAAUUGAGGCGAUUAAUAUGAAGAAUCAACUAAAUUCAUGUAAUGAAGAAAUUACAAAUAUGAUUCUUGUAAACAUAGUCUUCAAAGGAAUUACCACAAAGCUACAAAAUGAUGAUCUAAGGUAUUACUUAUAUGUAAUAAUCCAUAUUUGAAGAUGUUAUGGAUAAGGUUUUCAUCAAAACUCAUUGCAUGGCUGUAAAAGAGCAAAAUUUGAAACAAAAAUAAGCCUCACUAGUACAAUUUCAACAAACAAACCAAGGAAGAUGUGGAUACAACUACUUUAUACAAGGAAGAGGAAAUUAAAGGAGAAGGAACUUAACUCAAGGAAUACUACAUCAUUUUUUCUUGCAUCACUUCUCGAGACUAAAACCUCACAUGAAUAACUAGCAUCUUUAGAAUAGACCUAGAGAAGCUUUAUACUUUACAAUAAGAUGAUUGCAAAUUCUUACAACUAGAUUUGAAUUUAAAAAAUAUAAUAUUAUUUUUUUAUUAUGUAUGUAGAAGUUCUAAUCGAAUUGCUUGAGACAAUCCACAAAAUCAACAUAAACUAUGUAGAAGGAAGUAUUUACAAAAAAAAUUAAAAAAAAAAUAUAAGUAAAUUCAAUUUUGUUCAUAAGAACUAGUAUGUUGACUUGGAAACCAACAACCAUUUUAUCAGAGAAAACUUUAACUUUUAAUUAGUAGAUGCACAAACUCCAAGUACAUUAAAGAAAAAAAACCCCGCAAAUGGCAGCUCCCACAAGAUUGAGGCUACUGGUUCAGCUCAUAUAAUUUCAGUAUGUGGUGCAAUAUAUCUUUAUGAUAUUUUGUAUAUCCCAGCCUUAGAUUGAAAUUUGAUUUUAGUAAAAACUUUCAUAGACCACAGCAAGUUAGUUAUGUUUACAAAAAAAUAUUGUUUGAUGUUGAAAUAAGAUAAAAAAUUAAGUGCCUCAGAAACAAGAAAUAAAGAAAACAUACUUUAUUAAUUCUAUAAUAAAACAUCAAAACCAUUUAUCAUUGAAGUAAAUUUUGUAAAAAAAAAAAAGAAGACAAUAUUAGACUAUAGCACAAAAGAUUUGGAUACUUAUAUUAUGCAACUUUACAACAUUUGUCAAAGGCUCACCAAGUACAAGAACUACCACUACUUCAUAUACUACAAGAAAUGUUUGAAGAUUGCCUUGCUAGAUGAUAUCAUUGAGAAAGGUCUUCAAAAAAUUUGUUUCAUUGAACAAAAAAGGUAAUACAAUUUAUAUACUCUAAUGUAGUAGGACCUAUAAGAAUACCAUCUUUGAGAAGCUUCAAAUACUUUGUAAUAUUCAUCGAUGACUACUCUCAAAAGAGUUGGAUAUACUUCUUACAAAAUAAGAGAGAAAUACACAAGAAAUUUAAGUAAUUAAAAAACAAGUAGAAAAAGAAAUAUGAAAUUAUAUAUUAUAUCUAGAGACAAAGAAAGGAAAAAAAAUAUUAAACACAAAAAUUAAAUGACUACUUAAUAAUACAAGGAAUCAAAAGGCAAUUCAACAUGGUACAUAUUCCACAGCAAAAUAGAAUUGAUGAAAGAAAAAACUAUAUUAUAGUUAAGAGAAUAUCCUUAAUAUCUAUUGCAUAUAAAUUAUUAGUCUAUUUAUAAAUAAAAACAAUCUACUAAACAAACUACUUAAUAAAUAUUAGUUCUAUUAGAACAAACUACAAAAUCAAUCCAAAAUAACUCUAUAGUAAGACCAAGAUAUAUGUAGACCACUUGAAAGUAUUUGGAUUGGUUGCCUAUUUUUACAUUUCAAAAAAAGAUAGACCUAAGUUGAACAGUAAGACAAUUAAAUGUAUAUUUUUGAAAUAUUAUAUAUAAAUCAAAGCCUAUAGAUUAUUUGAUUCUAUAUAUUGUAAAAUUUGAGUUAAUUGAGAUAUAGUAGUUGAUGAGCUCUUAAUAGGUUUUGAAUAUAUAAAAAAAAUUACAAUUCUAGUAAAAGAAGUAGAAAUAUUUUUUAAAAUAGAAUUAUUAAUUUGAGAUAAAAUUGAUAUAAUAAAUCAACAAAUAAAUAAUAAAGGCAAGUUAAUUAUGAGUCUUGAUUUUGAAGAAGAAUAUACAAGCUCUUCAAUAGAUACACUGUAAGCAGAUAUCCUAUUUGAAACUAUCUAUAGUAAUGAUUCUAAUGCACUUGGGAAAGCUCUUUAGCAAAUAAAUAUAGAACACAAUCAUCAGUGCAUAUACUCUACUUAAAAUAAAAAAUCUAAUAUAAGAUUCAAUGAUAAUUACAUGCUUACAUUUAAAAUAGAAUUAAAACUAAGGAAUUAUAAGGAAGCAAUAUAACAUAUUGGAUAACAAGAUGCAAUCAAAGAAGUAGAAUCUAUAUAAAAAAAUAAAAUUUGGAAUUUAAUAAAUAUACUUCAAGGAAAAAAUCUAGUUUGUGCUAAAUAGAUCUUUAAGACAAAAUUGAGAGUAAUUAGCAACAUUAAAAAACUUAAGGUCAAGAUUAUAGCUUAAGGCUUUGAAGAAGAGGAAAAAAUAGAUUUCUUCAAAAUCUUUUUCCAUGUGGUUAGAUGGACAAUUUUUAGAACAACCAUAGCAUUAGAAGCAAGAAAAAAUUAGAAACUACAAUAUUUAGAUGUUAAAACAACAUUUCUUCAUAGAAAGUUCAAAAAAGAAGUAUAUAUAUUCCUACUUCCAAGUUUUAAACAAAAAAGAAGUAAAGAAAAAGCUUAUAAAUUAGAAAAGGUACUAUAUGGGCUAUACAAUGCUUGUAGACCCUUGUAUGGAUGCAUUAAUAACUAUCUAUGAAAUCAAAAUCUAGAGAAGAAUAACAAAGAUUUUAAUAUAUACUUCAUAAUCUAAGAUACAAACCAUGCAAUAGUAUUGUUCUAUGUGGAUAAUAUAAUAGUUAUAAGAAAUAAUACAAUAUACAUUCAAGCACUCAAAAAAAGUCUAAUAAAUACUUUUGAAAUGAGAGAUUUUAGGGAGGCAAAACUUUACUUGGAAGUCAAACUAAAAUACACUAUUGAAGGGAUUUAUUUUUACUGGCAAAAUUACCUUCAGAAUAUUGUAGUUCCUUGAAUAGUCUGUAAAUUAAGAAAAUAUUUUAAAUAUUUCAAAAUUAAGAAAAUAUUUUAUAUUAUAGAAUAUUUUAUCUUUCAAAAGACAAAAGAUGACUUCUCAAAUUUACAGACAUUGAUUAGGCAAGAGAUAUCGAUUUUCAAAAAUUGAUAUUAAGGAUACUGUAUAAAAGCAUAUUGACUAGGAUUGGUAUAUGUAGGAUGAUGAAGUAAGCUUCAAACAUCAAUUGUGUUCUUAUUGAUAGAAGCAAAAUAUUGUGUUUUAACUGAAGUUGCUUGCAAUGUGACAUACUUUUACAGACUAUUCAAGGAACUUUAUUUAGAUGACAAAAAUCCCAUUCUACCACUAUAUAAUAACAUAAGCAUCAUUAAGGUGAAAAUCUAGUCAUGCAUUAGGGUACAAAAUACACAAAGCUAGACCAUCACUAUAUCAAAGACAAAGAACAAGAUGGAAUAAUUGAGCUACAAUAUACUCCUACAUAUUUGCAAUAUGCUGACAUUCUUAUGAAGCCUCUAGGACCAAUUGAAUUUGUUGAAAAUUAAAAAAACUAUAAUUGUGCACCUAAUUGUGGAAGGUAAGUAGAAAUAUAGCAACAAUUCUACCAAAUCAAAUAAAAAUCUCAAAUAAACUUUAAGUAAAGUUUAAUAAUCCUAAUCAAAUUUUGAACAAUUUAACAUAAAUUUAAAAGAAGUUAUAAAAGAAACACAAAGAAGUCCUAAACUAACCUCUAAGAAAAAUAACAAGAAAAAUUAAAAAAAAAAAAUCUUUAAAAAAUAUUAGAGAUAGAAAAUUUUAAAUAAAUAAUAAAAAAUCCUUCUAAAAUACUAAAAAUAAAAAUCAUAGGUAAAUCCUAAUCAAAUCUUAAUCUAAUUCCAAUUGUAAUCCUAAUAAAUUUUAACCAAAUUUUAGAUCAAAUCCUCAUUAAAAUCCUAAUUAAAUCUUAACCAAAUUUUAAAUCAAGUACUAAUUGAAAUUCUAAUUGAAUCUUAACCAAAUCCUAGGUCAAAUCUUAAUAAAAUCCUAAUAAAACCUAAAUCCUAGAUAAAUCUUAAACCAAACUUUAAGCAAAUCCUAAUCAAAUUCUAAAUCUUAAACAAUCUCUUAACAAAUCCUAUAAUAGAUUGAAAUCUCAAUAUCUAAUGAUCGAACUAUUGAUAUCAAUUCAAAAUUUGUGCACUUCUUAAUAUCUUAGUUUAAAACAAGCAUAUGAAAGAUGAAAUUGAUCGUACUUAUCAAUUAAGAUAUAUGCAAGAUAAUCCAAUUAGGUAUUGGGUGGCUUCCUACUCUAACCUCAACAUUAAACAUCCAAUGCCAAUAUCUCUUUCUUGAAUUAUUGAAUUACUCUUAAAUUUCACCCAAAUGUUGCAAAUUGAAUCUAGUAUCUAUAUAAAAAAAAUUCACUUCAAUCCAAUUGAAAAAUUACUAACGAUCUCAAAAAUACUCAUUAACCUUCAAACUGUAAUUUUUGAGGCGUCAAUCCACAAAAAUCUUUAUAUAUUUCAAUAUAAUUAUUUAAUUGACCUCAAAAUUUUCAUACACAUUUACAACUAACACACCAAUACAUCUCUCAAAUUUUAUCCAUAUAUAUACCACAAAACUCAAAA